This 44960-nucleotide long non-coding RNA is filed under the name Triticum aestivum (bread wheat). RNAcentral describes it as "long non-coding RNA (TAES_LNC026365)". Lineage: Eukaryota; Viridiplantae; Streptophyta; Magnoliopsida; Poales; Poaceae. The record is from RNAcentral.
CGCCGUCAUCUUCCACAGGUCCGCCUUCAGAUUAUAUUGAGGCUUCUACCUUAUCUGGCCACUCUGCCAUCGACGUCACCAUGACGCCAGACAGCUACCUCCUCCUGCGCGAGUCCAUCUCCGCGCAUUGGACGCCGAGCCUCCACAGCGCCAUGCCGCCGAUCUCCGCCGCCAUCAAUGUGUGAGAUGAGGUACCGCUCCACCACCCCCCUAGCCAUCACUUGCUCCAAAACGAUGCCCCCAGGAGGGAAAGCGAUAAAACGCCAUCAUCGUCCGAUCCGAAAGACCCAGAUCUAGGGUUUCCCCCGGAGCAUCCCGAGCCUGAUGACGCAGACUGCAACGAGGAUGCCUCGACAAGGAAACGACAUCUAAGACGCCGUCAUCGUCCGCCAUGACCGUAGUCGGCGCGAUUUUCAUCGGCAGUUGCUCCACCAGACGUGCGCCACCGACGGCGCUGGUCCCUUCAACUGGAGUAAACUCCAAAACGAUGCCCUAAAGAGGGACUACGACGCAAAAUCGCAGUCAUCACUCGAUCCAAAGGAGAUCUAGGGUUUCCCCCGGAGAUGUCCGCGCUGUCAAGGAUCAGACAAGGGUAGAAUCCCGGUGGAUCUGCCCAGCUGCCGACAAGUUGCACCCGCCACCGUGCCGACGGAAAACCAGCGGUCAAGGCCCACGCUCGGGCAUAGAUCCGGCCGUGCCNNNNNNNNNNNNNNNNNNNNNNNNNNNNNNNNNNNNNNNNNNNNNNNNNNNNNNNNNNNNNNNNNNNNNNNNNNNNNNNNNNNNNNNNNNNNNNNNNNNNNNNNNNNNNNNNNNNNNNNNNNNNNNNNNNNNNNNNNNNNNNNNNNNNNNNNNNNNNNNNNNNNNNNNNNNNNNNNNNNNNNNNNNNNNNNNNNNNNNNNNNNNNNNNNNNNNNNNNNNNNNNNNNNNNNNNNNNNNNNNNNNNNNNNNNNNNNNNNNNNNNNNNNNNNNNNNNNNNNNNNNNNNNNNNNNNNNNNNNNNNNNNNNNNNNNNNNNNNNNNNNNNNNNNNNNNNNNNNNNNNNNNNNNNNNNNNNNNNNNNNNNNNNNNNNNNNNNNNNNNNNNNNNNNNNNNNNNNNNNNNCUCCUGCCGCGCGGGAGCGAAGUCGCCGCCGCCACCACCCGUCGUGGCGUCCGGCCCGCCGCCACGCUCCGGCCCGGGGGCGCCGGCCCGCGCCAGCCCCACGCGAGCGAGAGGGCCCGAGUCCCCGCCGCUGCCGGCGACGACCAGGUUUCGUCUGGCCGCGCCCUUGGGUGGCGGCGAGGGAGGAGGAGGAGGAGUGGGGGAGGGCCGGCCGACGGGGUCUGGGGGCCUCCCGGCCGCCCACGCGGGGGGCGACUCAGGAGGGGAGAGGGAAGGGUAUUCGAGGGAACCGAGUAAGAAAAUCCUUUUAAAAUGGGGGAGAAUUUCACUUUCCCGGCCUCUGCACCAACUAGGGAUGCAUACGGUCAUUUUAGUAUGAGUACCAAGAUAAACAUGGUCCUCAGAAUUUUUUAAAUAAGCAUCAAGAUAUUUUUUGAUGAGUGGUUUCAUCAUACACACCAAACUUGAUCCUCAAUAAAUGAGGAAAACCCCUGUGCAUCACCUGUCAAUUUUAGGAAUUGAACUCGGGUCGUUAGACUGCACAACCGCAUGCCUAACCACUGAGCCAAGGCAAAGAUCUAUCUGAGUGAACACAUCAAUUGUGAAUGCAUUGCAGGUCGUGGCAAUUUUCAUGUUCUCAGCAGCCUGUGCUUCCGCGAGCCUGACAAUUUUCUUCAUGCGGGAUGUGAACUUCUGCGCGGCAUACUCGCGGCUGGCCUGCCGGCAGUUCACGCUUUCGGUCGUCCUGGCGUUCAUCACGUGGUUGUUGCAAGCUGCAUAUUCUUUCUCCGGGUUCUGGCUACUGGUUUGAUUCUUCUAGUGAUCUCAUGUGCUCAUAAUCGUCGUGACAUCAUGCUAAUUGUCAGUUAAGAGGGUAAGUCGGUUGAAAUCUGCUCGGGACACAUGCUAGAUUUCAGUUAUGGGCACGGAUCCUUCAAUCCUUCAUCCCUUGUUAGAUAGAUCGCCUGUUUGAUAGUAGCUCAUCUUUAUUCUAGGAGUUGGUUGUGAGCUCCUUGAGGUGGAGCAAUUACUUUUUAGAUGAUGUGGGAUCAUUAAUAUAUGGAGAUAAAUCACGGUCGAAAGUACCUGAAAAAUGCUCUGGUUAUUGUACAAAUGGAAUUUCAUAUAUCUUCAUGUUGCUCGGACCAACUGUUUCCGGUUGCUUUGCAUCUAGCUAAUUUGGAUGUGCUUCACACUGUGAACAAGCCUUUCUUUUGUUGCCAAGCAAUGUAGACAUGUAGUCUUUCUCAUCAUAGUUUGGAAGUCGAAUGCUAAGGAUAUCUUGUUCAUCUUGAGGCAUGAAAAAUUGUUUGACCUUGUCCUCCUUCCAAGUAUGGGUAUCACCAAUCGAAUAUGUGAUUUUGUUGGGUUUAUGUUAAUUUUGAGAUUUCCUCUCAGGAUCCAAUUGUCCCUCCAUGUGCGAAUACUAUGGCCGUUACAAAUACAUCAUACACCCCUUUCUUCAACAACUCCAAACCAUUCAUGAUGCCUUAUGCAUUUCGAAUAAAUGCUGUGUAGCAAAUCAACCCCGGGAUAACAUUUAGCCUUCAUAACCCUUGCACAUAGACUGUUAGGGAACACUAUGAGUUGCCAAGCUUGCCUAGCAAGGAGAGCUUGGUUAAAAAUUUGGAGGCCCUAAAGAAUUUAGUUGAUCUUUCUCAGACCUUUCAUGCUAUUAGUGUUUGAUUGAUUAUUAUAUAUAUGACACAUACCUCACUCCCUCUGUUGGAAAAGGCAGUGCCUAGGAGGCGCUUAGGCACGCCUAGACGCUAGGCAGUGGCCAAACGCCUCGCCUAGGGCAUAAAUAGAGGUCUAGGCAGGCAAGCAAGGAACUAUUUACCCAAGUAAGAAAUCAUGCCACAUACCGCACUAAUAUGCAAAACGGGUUAUAUUUCAAUGACAGUAGAUGGUAAUCAACUUAUUUAUAUGCCCUAAACUAAUAUCAACACCCAUAUAAUAAUCACAAAGACACUACGAGUAAAAACUAUAUUACCGCCUAGGCCACGCCUAGGGCGCUUAGGCACUGCCUAGGCACUAGGCGAAGGCCAACCGCCUCGCUUACGCCAACCGCUUUUUCCAACCUUGUCACUCCUUUGGUUUAGUUAUUUCAUUCAUGUUGAUAUUUCGUGCACAUAAAGAUCGAUUUGCACGGUUUAGCUUUUUAAAAUAUAUGAUUAACAUUUUCUGAUUCAUGAUAAAAAUUCAAAUGUUUGAUUAAAAAUUUUAAAUACAUGAUCAACUUUUUUCAUAUACAUUGUGCAUUUUUGUAAACAUUUUGUCAUAUACAUAAGAAACAUUUUUGAAUGCACAUUUAACAUUUUUAAAAUGCUAGAUUUUCUUUUCAAAAACUGUAUGUACAAUGUUUUUUGUGAUAUAUAUAUUUAGAAUAUUUAUAAGUAUAAACAAAAGUAAAAGGAAAGGCAAAAAACAAAAAGAAAAAACAUGAAAAAGUACGAGGUUGUGGCUGCCCGCGAGCUGGCCGGCCCGAGUCAGAUAUAGCCUGCUGUUUUUUAAAGCAAAUUCGGAAAGGGCGGAAGAAGUUUCUCUCUUAUUGGAGACUUAUGCAAGGGCUUCUGGUCAAAGAGUAAACAGGGACAAAUCGUCAUGUUUCUUCAGCAACGGAUGUCCAGAAUCAGUGAGACAGCAGGUGAAACAAGUCUUGCAAGUUCCCAAUGAACAACUUAGUGAGAAAUAUUUGGGGCUGCCUACAGACAUAGGUUCAUCCAAGAAUGGAGCGUUCAAGUAUCUUAUUGAUCGCUUAUGGAACAAGAUGAGAGGAUGGAUGGAGAAGUCACUCUCAGCUGCGGGGAAGGAUGUUCUUAUCAAAUCGGUUGCACAAGCCAUUCCGGUCUUCUCGAUGUAUUGUUUCAAACUUCCUCGAGGACUAUGUGAAAAGUUAACCUCAGCCAUAAGAGCCUUUUGGUGGGGCAGCAAACAAGGGAAAAGGAAACCCCAUUGGGUGUCUUGGGAUAGUAUGACAAUGCCAAGGUAUAUGGGUGGUCUUGGCUUUCGCAAUUUUGAACUUUUUAACUUGGUUCUCCUAGCUCGGCAAUCUUGGAGGAUCUUGGUCUCUCCGGAUUCUCUUAGUGCUCGAAUUCUAAAAGCAAUAUACUUCCCAAACAGCUCAAUCCUUGAUGCAAAUAUCGGAAGCCAUCCAUCUCAGGUUUGGAGGGCUAUUCUGGAAGGAAGGGAUAUUAUGAAGCAGGGCCUGAUUAGGCGAAUUGGGGACGAAUCAGAGACGGAAAUAUGGAGCACAAAUUGGAUCCCGCGGGCUGAGUUAAUGAGACCACUCGUCUCUAGAAUCCUAGAUCCACCCCAACUAGUGGCUGAGUUGAUUGACUCAGGAAAUGCACGCUGGAAUAUGGAGCGGGUGAAUCAGGUUUUUCUGCCUUUUGAUGCACAGGCAAUCUUUCAGAUUCCGAUCUGCAUUAGGAACGUGGCGGAUUAUUGGUCCUGGAUGUAUGAGAAAUCGGGCAUCUUUAGUGUACGGUUGUGUUAUCGCAUGAUAGUUGAAACCAAGAAGAGAAGGGAGGACUGGUUGGAGUCAUGCCCGGCUGCGUCUAACCGCCGAGAGGAUGAGCUCGCUUGGGUCCGACUAUGGAAGACCACAGUUCCGGCUAAAAUCCGGGUAUUUUUGUGGAGGCUUGCGCGCCAGUCUAUCCCAACGGAAGAUGUCAGGAUGCACCGGAAUAUGACUACGAGCUGCACGUGUGCUAUUUGUGGGACUCCGGACUCGUGGAAGCACAGUCUCCUGGAGUGUAUUGCUGCUUGCUGUGUUUGGUCACUAGUUGAUCAAGAAUUGAUCGAUGAACUUCAGAGCAACACCGAACAAAACGCAAGAAGGUGGUUAUUUACCAUGAUCGAGCAACUUUCACAUGAAAAGUUCAUCACAGUAGCAGUCACCCUUUGGGCCAUUUGGUCGGCGAGAAGAAAGCUAAUACAUGAAGGAAUAAAUCAAAGCCCUCUGUCGACAUAUAUGUUCAUCACACAUUUCAUCUCAGAGCUAGAACAGGAGAAGAACAAAGUUCAGGACCAUGUGAUCAGACCAAAGAGUGCAGUACCGAGAAGAUGGAUUCCGGCAACACCGGGCUGCGCCAAAAUCAAUGUGGACGCCGCGGUUUCUCGAGGAGUUGGAGCAGUCGCGGCUGUGUGUAGGAACAAUAAAGGAGACUAUCUUGGAUCCUCGGCGUUCGUCGUUCGAGGAUUGAUAGAUCCGCCUACUUUAGAGGCUAUUGCAUGUAGAGAAGGCUUAUCUUUGGCUGAAGAUUUGGGGCUACAGAAUAUGGUGAUCGCGUUGGACUGUCAAGAAGUAGUGAAGCACAUCAAGGAAAAAUCAGGUGGAAACUAUGAUGGAGUGGUGAAAGAGAUAAGUUUGUGGCAAUCUUCGUUUAGUUCAUGCUGUUUCAAGUUUGAAUCAAGAGUCUCAAAUUUUGAGCCUCACAAAUUAGCUAGGCAUGAUGUAAAGUUGGUUCAUGGCCGACAUAUUUGGCUGGGGCUACCACAUGACACUUCUGUAAUAUCGGUAGCAAUACCAACUAAUGAAUAAAGCUUAGCUUUUUGCUCAAAAAAAAGGUAUAGCCGGGGGAGAGCUCCUGUCUGACGCUCGUUAGCGUCAGGCAGAGUAGCUUUCGCUGAAGGUAGAUACAGAUGGGCCAGCCCAUUUAAAGGUUGGUAGCUCGAGCGCGUAAAAAAACGCCAAAAAUACCCCGCGCCAGAGAGAGAACGCACACAAGACGUCCCGCUCGGAAAUUUUAUAACCAAACCAGUCGAGCUGAAACCUUGUACUGGUUUGCAAGCGGCGCAAGAGCUUAAAGUAAACAAGAACUUUUGAAAAUUUACGAACAAUUCAAGAAAAUCGAGAACAAAAAAUUGAAAAUUCUGAACAAAAUUUGACAAACGCGAAACCCUUUUUCAAACCAUAAACAAUUUUUCAAAUUUGAACAAACUUUUCAAACGUGAAUAAUCAUUAGAAAGUUGAACAAAAAUUUCGAAAUUCCAAAAAGAUGAACAAUUUUUUAAAUAUACAUUGAACAUUUUUGCAUUAUACGCUGAACAAUUUUAAAUACAUACUGAACAUUUUUAUGAUAUACACCGAAUUAUUUUUUUGAAAAUACAUUGAACAUUUCUGUAAUGUACGUUGAACAAAUUUUGAAUUGUGAACAAAAUUUAAAAACAUAAAUUUUUUAUGAAAUCAUGAAGAAAAUACGAAAUUUCAAACUUUUUUGAAACAACGGACGAAAAUAAAAAUAAAAAGGAUAAAAUAAGAAUAGGAGUAAAAAAGAAAAAGAAACAGAAUAAAUAAACUGAAGAAGAAAAGAAUAAAGAAACAGGAAGAACAGAAAACCGGCAAAAGAGAAAAAAAAAAGAAACCGGUUUAGGGAACCUUCUGCAUUAACUAGCGAAGUGGGCCGGCCCAUCUCGCGCAGCUACUCCCGCGCUUCAGCGAAGCCACUUCUCCUCGACGCACGCGAGCGUCAAAUAGAACCACCUACCCGGGGCGCCCCUAUUUCUCGCGUUACGCGAGCGGAGGGAACACGCUCGCGUCGGGGCGAGCCACAGACGGGCCGGCCCAGCCACGCGGGAGCCACAACCUGUUUUUUUUUUCGUUUUCUAUUCUCGUUUUUGUUUGUUAUUUUUGUACUUUUCUUUAUACUUUCAAGUAUUCUUCAAAUAUUCUCGUUUUCUAUUCUUGAAAAGAUGUUGAAUAAGUAUUAAAAAAGUUGAACAAGAAUUUAAAAAAUGUUGAAUAAGUAUUAAAAAUGUUGAAUAAGUACUUGAAAAUGUUGAAUAGAUAUUAAAAAUGUUGUACUAGUAUAUUAAAAAUGUUGAACAAGUAUUUGAAAAUGUUAAAUAAAUGUUGAACAAGUAUUUUAAAAGUGUUGAAAUAGAUAUUAAAAAAUGUUGAAAGAGUAUAGAAAAAUGUUGAACAAGUAUUUGAAAUUGCUGAAUAAGUAUUAAAAAUGUUGAAAAAGUAUUUCAAAAAAUGCUAAAUAACUAUUAAAGUGUUGAACAGGUAUUUGGAAAAUGUUGAAAUAGCGUUAGGAUAAUGUUGAGCAUGUAUACAAAAAAUAUUUUUGACAUGUACAAAAAUAAAGAGUGAAGACGAAGAAAAACAUAAGAAAACACAAAAGAAAAAUAACAAAUGGAGAAGAAAAAUGAAAACCAAACAAAAAAUAGAGAAAAAAGAAAACUAAAAAGAUUGAAUUAAAUCAGAGAAUAAAGGAAAAAAGAAUGAGAAAAAGAAAGAAGAAAAAAAUAAAUGAAAUAAAAGAAAAGGAAAAAAAGUAAAAAGAAAAAUGGAGAAGACCGGCUUGGUGGCAUCUAGUAGUCCUCGAUCCUAUAACCAACUAGUAACAUGAGAUAGACGGAGUGGUUUGCUGCUCAGGUGAAAGCCUAGGAGACCAGGGUUUGAUUCUAGGGGAUGGCGCGUUUAUUCCUGACUUUCUGAAUCUGUGCGCGACAUGAACAGUGUUGCUGGCCCAACACUGUGGACUCGCUUAAUGCGACAAAUAGUCGCUGCAGUAUAGCCGCGCCCGUCUACGUAUAGUUCUCUCACGCGCCAUGCAGCAGGCCUUGUACCAUUAGGUUAGUUGUCUCAAUUUUUUUAUUUGCGCUAUCAGCUGAGAGUGGUUGGCACUCACACUACUCCACCGCCUGCAUGACCGUUGACUUCAAAAAAAUUCUUCAUAGAUUUUAUUUGAUAAUUUGAAUGCAAGAUUGCGGAUUUGAAAAGGUUUAUAAUUUGAAUAAUGCUUGUGAAUUUGAAAAUUGUUCAUGGAUUUAAAAAUCAUAUUUUUUAAAAAACCAUGAAUUUAAAAUCAGAAAAAGAGAAAAAGGGAAUUAGGAGAAAAAACGACCAAACAAUAAACCGGCAGAGAAGCAACGAAAAGAAAAAAAACAAGCAUUGUACACCAAAUGCUAAAUAUUACCCAAAAGGAAAAUUUUUAGAUACAGUUUUCACAUCUGAUGCUUCUCCGGUAUGGAGAGGAAUUGAAUAUGGGCUUGAACUCCUAAAACAGGGCAUGGUCUGGAGGGUAGGUGAUGGAAAAAGUAUUCAAAUAAUGCGGGAUAACUGGAUUCCUCGUCUUUCGGGCCUCUCGAUCCAGACCAUGAAGUGUAGGAGCAGGCUCAGAUGGGUCCAUCAAUUAAUUGAUCCUCAAUCUAAAGAAUGGAACAAGCAAAUCAUUGACAAUUUGUUCUUCAGUUUUGAUGCUGAGGAGAUCUACAAAAUCAGACUUCCCUUUAUUCCUAUAAAAGAUAUUCUCGCAUGGAACUAUGAAAAAAAUGGUAUGUUCUCGGUAAGAAGUGCCUACAAGCUGGGUAAGGCUUUGCAGGAUGGACCAGGUGUAAGUUCCUCGGCAAUCUAUGGUAAUGGCAGGGAAAGCUUAUGGAAUUUAGUUUGGAAAGUUAAAGUUCCUCACAAAAUUCGUAUUUUUGCUUGAAGAACUGCCACUGACUCUCUGCCCACUGUCGGAGUAAAUAGCCAUAGGUAGCCUAGCCGGCUUCACCUGGCUCUUCUGAAAAAAUUACGAGCCCGUCCGGCUCUCAAGAAUCCAAGACACGGGGCCGCCUUCCCCUUGCUGACUGUCACCCAGGCCGGCUUUCGGAAGGCGGCCCGACUUUAGCCCUCAUGAAGAAAGCCAUGGGAGGGCCGACUUCGAGAAGCCGGCCGCGAGGAGGCCGACUCCAAGAAGCCGGCUCCCACAAAGCGGUCGAGACCGUACCCUCAAAGUUUGCAUCCACCUAACGGCGGUGCGACGGGGCGUGGCUAUAGUAAAGCCUGCCACCCCCGAAUCUUGGAGCACGCGUGGCACAGUGCGCCGUACGGAGUGGGCAUGACCCGUCCGGCGUGGCACUGUUGCCAUGUUGACCCUGAUGUCACCCCCGACGGGCCGCCAGCGCGGCCCACGAGCGGUGGGUCCCUUCGGGCAGAGAGACACCCGAAGGCGGCCACGCCUCCCCCAGUCGGCCCAAGACGGAGCCGGCUCCCCGCAGCCGGCUUGCCGCCUUCCUUGAAGGAGACGCCCCAUUAAGGAGACAAGACGCGGUGAGGCUACAGCGAUCGCCCGCCAGGCGGCGGCACUGUAGCCACGCCUACCACGACGAAGCCCACGUCACCAAGAUGGAGCAAUAGUAACCAGCCGCCGACCAGGUCCUGGACAGUGGGGCCUGCCUGUUGACCAAGGGGCCGGCAGCCGGCGGGGCCCACCAGUCGGCGGGCCCCAGCAGCCGGCGCAGAAGCCGGCGAGCGCAGUCACAGAUGGUUGGGCCCCGCGCCUAGUCGGAUUACCAUUGUACCUCCGGGGGGUAGGCCUAUAUAAACCCCUCGGAACACCCAUGCAAAGGGUUCGACCCCCAGCUAGUUUUAGACACCUCACAAGGAGAAGAAGCAAGCUAGUCGCGCCCCUCUUCCCCCUCCCACCGAACAGCUCAAGGAGCAUUGUGUAGCUACUCGUCCAUCUAGUGAUCAUGCGGAGACCCCGCAGAGCAGCAAUAGGGGUGUUAUCUCCGCAGAGAGCCCCGAAGCUGGGUAAGAUUCACCGGCGAGCAUGUCUUCGCCUCACCCCGUUUCCAGGCACCGGCGACGUCUUACUGGCUCCCACAAUGAUAAGCCACCCGUUGGCAUAUGUCGCACCUACCACCCGAUAUUUGGCGCCCACCAUGGGGCCAGGUGCACUGUCGUCCGGAGACCUGUUCUGGACGGGAACCCUCUUCCUCCCCAGCGAGCGUAGCCAGCCCGGCACACCUGAUGGCCCUUGCCACGACGCGCUGCAAGGCGUCACCAGCAUCUGCACGGCGAGCAGCCUCGCCAAUCUCCUUGACGAAACCCUCAUCUCCGACGAGCUCGCCUCCGAUGCGGGCACCGACCACCUCGCCAACCUCCUCGGCUAUCUCCAUGUCUCCAGCGAGCCAGCUGUGGAUCUGGAGUCAGUUGGCUCCACCGACCCGAUGCCUGUCGACUCCGACACGGCCUCCUUCGACACCUUCCCCACCAACGUCACGAUCUACAACGACCCGCUUCCUUGGACCGAUGGCCGCGAUACUGUCACCACCGAAGUGAUGGUCGUCGGCCACGGCGGCCUGCCCGACGAGAGCGCCCACGACGCCCCGCACGCGGCGGCCCACGACUUGUCCAUCGCCCUCCCGGCUAAUGCCGACGACGAAGCACUGGAGGCAUGCCGCCUCGCCCUCCUUGCAGAGGGCCGGAGGCCGGCUUCCGUGAGACGCCUCACAGAGGCCUACCAGCGCGAAGCUGACCGCGCCGCCUUCGACACGCCAGCCUCGGGCGGGCCAAGCCAGGCCGGCCUUGUCAAGAAACGCGGCGCCGUCAUCGCCGACACGCUGGGGGUCGACCGCCCGGUCUAUGCCACUCCGCUCGAGAACUUGCGUGCCGCCCAGGCGGCCGUAGACGAGUUGGACGGCUUGGAGGCCGAAGACCUCCCCCACAUGACCCGGCGCAUCCAGCAACUGAUUGACGCGGCCGCACGGCGGCACGAAGCCGACGCCCGCGCGGGAAGCCCUCCCCCGCGCCGAGAUCACGGUGUGACGUCCCGGACACCGACUACGAGCAACGCCCGCGUGUGGCGCGAGAAAGAGCCGGCGGCCAGCCGAAGCCGGACCCGGAUCUCCAUCAAGCGAGACGCGGACGGCCAUCCCCGAGCCAUGGAAUGGCGGGGCAACCAGCCUCCACCUCGACCCCGUGGAGAGAGAUAUCCCACCCCGCCACCAGUGGCGCACCCGACUCAGCGGCCGACUAGGUCGCCGCGAAGGAGUCGGCGAGAACGACGCCCGCCAUCGGAUCGACCGCCUGGCGCGAUCCCUGGCGCUGGAAGAAGAAGACUAUGUCGGCCCGCCUUGUUUCGGCCCCCGCAUCCGCGACGAGCCUUUUCCCAAAGGGUUCUCGCUCCCAAGAGACACGCCCAAGUACAACGGCUCCGUGAAGCCGGAAGAUUGGUUGAUCGACUACUCCACGGCGGUCAGCAUAGCCAACGGCAACCGGCAUGUUGCCGUGAAGUACGUGCCCCUCAUGCUGCAAGGCACGGCGCGGACCUGGCUCAACAGCCUCAAGCCUCUCAGCAUCAACAGCUGGCUAGAUUUCACCGAAGCUUUCAUCCGCAACUUCACCAGCACCUACAAGCAGGCCCCCAAGCCCAGGCAGCUCUCCCUGUGCGUACAGGGCCCGGCCGAGUCCACUCGCGACUACCUCACGCGUUGGGCCGAGCUCCGCAAUUCUUGCGAGGGGGUGCACGAGGUGCAAGCCAUCGAAUACUUCACUGCCGGGUGCCGAGAAGGUACUCUCCUCAAGCACAAGCUCCUCUGCGCCGACUACCCUCGACGAGCUUCUGGACAUAGCCGACAAAUACGCCACUGCCGACUCUUCGAUGAAGACCGAGCUUCGGGUAGAUGCGUCCGGGAAAGUACUCAACCCGGCGCCCAAGACGCUGGCAGGGGAUUCCGGCCGACGCCCACACCCGAACGACCAUAAGCGCAAGGGCCCUGCGCCGCCUCCCGUUAGUCGGCAGUUGGCCACGGUCGAAGACGCGCCGCCUGAAGGGCGACCCGCGCCCAAGAAGCCCAAGGGCGACCCGCGCCCAAGAAGCCCAAGGGCGGCCGGCCGGCUUGGCAGCCGGCUUUCUCCUACGAGCAAACUCUCGACGCCCCGUGCAAAUUCCAUAGCGGCGCAAAGCCAUCCAACCACACAACCCGGAAGUGCCAUUGGCUCACCCGAAUCUCUAAAGGAGAGGGGCUCGUGCCGCCUCCGCCUCCGCCGCCUCCGGCCGCUCGGCCCGCAGUCGGAGCCGUGCAUGACGAAUUCCCUGACGAGCAAGCAACCUACAUCGUCUUUACAAGCCAGCUCGAAGACCGGCGCAGCAAACGCCGAGAGCACCAGGAAGUCAGCGUGGUCGCUACCAACCCCGCCGGACACAUGCAUUGGUCCAAAAAGCCCAUCAGCUGGAGCCGGGCCGACCAUCCAGAAGUGAUGCCGUCUCCCGACUCUUAUGCGUUGGUCCUGGAAGCCACCCUCGCGACGGACAGACGCGCUGCCCGCUUCUCCCGCGUGCUGAUAGACGGCGGGAGCAGCAUCAACAUCCUGUACCGUGACACCCUGGAGAAGCUAAAUGUCAAGACGAAGCAGCUAAUGCCGACUCGGACAGUGUUUCAUGGCAUCGUACCCGGAUUAUCCUGCGCCCCCAUUGGCAAGAUCAAGAUUGAUGUACUUUUUGGGGACAAGGAGCAUUUCCGUCGGGAAGCGAUCUGGUUUGAAGUGGUGGACCUGGAGAGCCCUUACCAUGCGUUGCUUGGCCGACCCGCCUUGGCCAAAUUCAUGGCAGUUCCCCACUAUGCAUACCUCAAGAUGAAGAUACCAAGCACCAAAGGCGUCAUCACCGUAGCCGGCGAUUACAAGAAGUCUUCCGAGUGUGCUGCCGCCAGCAGCCGGCUGGCCGAGUCCCUUGUGAUUGCCGAAGAGAAGAAGAUGUUGGACCGGGUCGUGGCCCUGGCCAGCAAGCAGCCGAACCAGUCCCCCGACCCCAAGGAGUAUGAUGCCCAAGGAUCUUUCCAGCCGGCCAAACAAACCAAGAAGAUACCCCUUGACCCCGAGCACCCCGAGAGGUUUGCCGUCAUCGGGGUAAGCCUGAACAACAAAUAGGAAGGCGAGCUCGCCGAUUUCCUCCGUGAGAAUCGGGACAUCUUUGCAUGGUCCCCCAAGGACAUGCCGGGUGUUCCGAAGGAAUUCGCCAAGCACAAGUAAACAUCCGAAAAGACGCGAAACCAGUCAAGCAGCCCCUCCGCCGACUUUCAGAGGAAAAGAGAAGGAUCGUAGGGGAGGAGAUAGCCCGGCUUCUGGCAGCCGGCUUCAUUAUGGAAGUCUUCUUUCCAGAGUGGCUUGCCAACUCAGUCCUUGUGUUAAAGAAGAACAACAAGUGGCACAUGUGUAUAGACUACACAAGCCUCAAGAAGGCCUGCCCUAAAGAUCCCUUCGCCCUGCCGAGGAUUGACCAAGUGAUAGACUCCACGGCCGGAUGCGAGCUGUUGAGUUUCUUGGAUGCUUACUCAGGAUAUCACCAGAUAAAGCUAGAUCCGGACGACCGCCUGAAGACCGCCUUCAUCACGCCAUUUGGAGCCUUCUGCUACCUGACUAUGACAUUCGGCUUGAGAAAUGCCGGUGCCACUUUUCAGCGUUGCAUGCAGAAGUGCCUCCUCAAGCAACUCAGCAGAAACGCUUACGUCUAUGUGGACGACAUUGUGGUGAAGACGGAGAAGCGCGGCACCCUGCUGGAAGACCUCAAAGAAAUAUUUGAGAACCUACGCCGGUUCCAAAUCAAGCUCAACCCCGAGAAAUGCGUGUUUGGAGUGCCAGCCGGCCAGCUCCUAGGCUUCCUGGUCUCCGAGACGCGGCAUCGAAUGCAACCUGGUGAAGAUCAAGGCCAUCGAGAGAAUGGCGAUCCCCACCAAGCUUCGAGACAUCCAAAAGUUCACCGGAUGCUUGGCCUCCUUGAACCGCUUCAUCAGCCGGCUCGGAGAGAAAGCUCUCCCCCUCUACCGCCUCAUGAAGAAGAGCACCCACUUCGAGUGGAACGACCAGGCCGACCAAGCUUUUCACAAGCUGAAGAAGAUGCUGGCCACGCCGCCUGUCCUAGCAGUGCCGAUUGAGAAAGAGCCCAUGCUCCUUUACAUUGCCGCAACCAGCCGCGUGGUCAGCACCGUCAUCGUAGUCCAACGCCCAGAAGAAGGCCGAGCCCAGCUGGUCCAGAGGCCGGUGUAUUAUUUGAGCGAGGUGUUGUCCGCUUCAAAGCAGAACUACCCACACUACCAGAAGAUGUGUUACGGCGUGUACUUCACCACCAAGAAGCUGAAGCACUACUUUCAAGAGCACCCCGUCACGGUCGUAUGCACCGCCCCGCUGGCCGAGAUCAUAGGCAGUCGGGACGCAUCCGGCCGGGUGGCGAAAUGGGCCAUCGAGCUGGCCCCUUACACAAUCUUCUACCAGCCCCGCACCGCCAUCAAGUCCCAAGCACUGACCGACUUCCUCGUCGACUGGGCCGAGACCCAGUACCUGCCGCCGGCUCCCGACUCCACCCAUUAGCGCAUGCACUUUGACGGGUCCAAGAUGCGCACCGGCUUAGGAGCCGACGUCGUCCUUACCUCUCCCAAAGGCGACAAGCUCAGAUACACGCUGCAGAUUCACUUUGCCGCCUCCAACAACGUGGCCGAGUACGAGGCGCUCAUACACGGGCUCCGGCUUGCCAAAGAACUCGGUAUUCGCCGGAUCCUAUGUUAUGGCGACUCGGACUUGGUGGUCCAGCAAUCAUCCGGCGACUGGGAUGCCAAGGACGCAAAUAUGGCGAGCUACCGUUUCCUGGUUCAACAACUCAGUGGAUACUUUGAAGGAUGCGAGUUCCUUCACGUACCGCGAGCCGACAACGAGCCAGCCGAUGCCCUGGCUCGAAUAGGCUCCACUCGGCAAGCCUCCUCAAGCCGUCUAUCAAGCCAUCUCCAGAGUCCGAUUCCAUCUUCGUACCGCCUGACCCCGACGCGGCCGGGUCCGGCUCGAAGAACCAAGUAGUCGGCCCGGGGACUUCGGCAACCGGCUCGGGGACUGCCACACCCGGCUCGGGGACUACAGUAGCCAGCCCGGGGACUGCACCAGCACAACAGCCGGCGGCCGACUCCAGCAUUUCACCACCCAGCCCGCCCACCCUGGUGGCAGUAGCCACAUUGGCAGUAGGAGAGGUCGCGGCUCCGUCAUGGGCUCAGUCCAUCCUCAACUUCCUAGUAAACCAAGAUCUGCCGGCUGACGAAACAGAGGCAAGACAAGUCCAACGUCGAGCCGGAGCAUACACAAUCGUCAACAGAGAACUCGUCAAGCGCAGUGUCACUGGAGUCCUCCAACGGUGCGUCGAGCAAGAGAAGGACAUUGCAAUCCUCAGAGACAUUCACCAAGGAGAAUGCGGCCACCAUGCGGCUUCAAGAUCCCUCGUCGCCAAAGCUUUCCGCCAUGGUUUCUUCUGGCCGACUGCUUUGGAUGACGCCAAAGAAUUAGUCAAAUAUUGCAAAGGGUGCCAACUCUUCAGCUCCAAGCAACACAUGCUGGCUUCAGCACUCAAGACCAUUCCCCUCUCCUGGCCCUUCGCCGUUUGGGGACUGGACAUGGUGGGACCAUUCAAGACGGCGUGCGGCGGCAUGACGCAUUUGCUCAUCGCCGUGGACAAAUUCACCAAAUGGAUUGAGGCAAAGCCGAUCAAGAAGCUGAAUGGGUCGACUGCUGUGACAUUCAUCGCAGAUAUAACAACUCGGUACGGUGUGCUACACAGCAUCAUCACCGACAAUGGCACGAAUUUUGCCAAAGGAGCCUUGGCACGUUUCUGCGCAGCCCAAGGUAUCCGGCUGGACUUAGCGUCCGUCGCCCACCCGCAGUCAAACGGCCAGGUCGAGCGAGCCAACAGCCUCAUCCUCUCCAGCAUCAAGCCCCGACUGGUCGUACCUCUGGAGCGUUCAGCCGGCUGUUGGCUCGAUGAGCUGCCGGCUAUCCUCUGGAGUCUGCGCACUACGCCAAACAAGUCAACCGGCUUCACCCCUUUCUUCCUUGUGUAUGGUGCUGAGGCGGUCAUCCCAACUGAUAUCGAGUUUGACUCGCCUCGGGUAACCAUGUACACUGAGGCGGAGGCCAAGGAAGCACGAGAAGACGGCGUCCACCUGCUGGAAGAAGGCCGGCUGUUAGCCCUCAGCCGGUCUGCCAUCUACCAGCAGGGUUUGCGCCGCUACCACCGUCGGAAGGUCAGGCCAAGAUCUUUCCAAGAGGGCGAUCUUGUGCUCCGGCUGAUCCAGCGAACAGCCGGCCAGCACAAGCUCUCGGCCCCUUGGGAGGGUCCCUUCGUCACCAGCAGAGCUUUAGGCAACGACUCCUACUACCUGAUCGACACGCAGAAGCCGAAGGCACGAAAGAGAGACGACUCCGGCAAGGAGUCGGAACGACCAUGGAACGCCAACCUCCUUCGAAGAUUUUACAGUUGAAAUGCAGUAUGUAUCACGCUAACUUUUGUACUAAGUACGAGACAAUAGGCCCCCCGAGGAGGGCUCGGGGACUGCCAUCUUUUAUCUAUGAAUGAAAAGUAUCAUGCUUAUGACCUUGUCAUUUCAUUUACUUGUUCCGUCCGGCACAGGGUUCGACUAGUCGGCCCGGGGACUGGCUGACUGGAGUUAUAUUAGAAGUCCUACCCGCGGUCAGGCAAGUAGUGUGCCAACACCCAGGCUUAGCUCUUGCCAAAGUCGCAGUUCGAAGAACCGUCUGUCCGGCUGGCAAGAGUCAAAAGCAGGAAAGGAUGCCCACACGAAAAAUGGCCAGGGACCAACGGACUAAUAUAACGAAAGUCGGUUCGCCGUCUACCACCGACCGACUACCAGAGUAGCCGGCCGGCCGGUUUCCGUUCACUUCACUUCAAUCCAAGAAAGCUCGAGUACUUGCCUCCCCAAAGAGGGAAGGCGGCAAAGGAAAAAGCCUAAGGAUAAAAAGCAUACGCGAAUGGAAACCAAACAUGCACAUAAUAAUAUUUACAUAAAAGACCUCCAAGAGGCCAGCAUUCAACAUAGUUUGGAUACACCCCCAGUGGGUGGAACUGCGAAAGCUUAAUAAAGAUUGUUCAAAAGGCAACAAGCAAGAAAAAUAAGGACGGCAGGUCAAGCUGGCGGAGCGACCGACGAGCCGGGCCGGUCGACGGAGACGGUUGUGCCGGCUGAAGGAGCGGCCGGCUGGCAAACCUCGGCUUGAUCACCGCCUCCCGCAGGGGGCGCGCUUCCACGCGCCUCGUUGCUGGAGGCACGGUCAGCUUGAGGACGGCCGGUUGUUCCACUAGCCGGCUCGACGUCUUCGCCGUCCUCUUCUUCGUCAUCCUUGCCCUCGUCGCUGGAGGCGAUCUCCUCUGCCGAGUCUUCGCCCACCGCCGGGUUCAGCCCGAACCACUCCUCCGGCUGGGCAACGCCGUCAUCAUUGAUUUCAGGUGCAAAAACGCUGAUGUCGGUGCACUCGGCGAUCGUCGAAGCAUGCUGGGCGAUAGCCGACCACACCUCCUCCAGCUCCGCGUCAGCCUCCAGCCGCCAAGUGCGCAGCUGCUCCAGGUUCAGCCCUGGGUACGAAGCCCGAACGAACUCCAAUGCCCGCCCGGCUCCAAGACGGGCCGCCGACGCUUUCCAAGCUUCAAAGCGACCGACUGCGACCUCCAGCCAGUCGGCAGUCCGGCUUGAGGUGCGGGGGAUCGUCUCGCCGGGCCAGAGGGCGGCCAACACCUGCGCCCCGGCAUGUUGGAGCCGGCGAAGCAUCCGAUGAGCCGGCUGCAACCGCGCCUGGACAGCCAAGAGCUGCUCCUCAAGCGUCCGGUUCGUGUCCGGCGCGAUGUUGGCCCCCGCCUGACGGCGCGCUUCGCGAUGGGCCUUGAUGGUUUGAGCGGCGAAGGCGGAGUAGCCGGGAAAGUAGUCUGCACAGGAAAAUAGGCAGCAGCACAAGUCAAGCCAAAAACCAGGCGGCAAGGGGCAGGAGAGGAGCGAGGAAGACGGCUUACCGUCGAUCAAGUCCUCGAUGCGGCCGAAGCCUUCAUCCAGCGCUCGCCGGGUCUCAGCCCAGCUCGCCGCCUCGGUCUCAAACUCUGCCUUCAGGGCGGCCUCGCCAUCCUGCGCUUUCUGCAGGGCCGCCUUGUGGCUCGCCUCCUAGUCAGCCAGCUUCUUGGCCAGGCGGUCACGCUCCUGGACCAAGGCAGCGCACUCAGCAUCCUUGGUAUGAAGGGCGGCCUGCGCUUCGCCGAGCUCCUUCCUCAAGUCGGCGUUGGCCCCUGAAGACAAAGAAAAAGAAAAACCAAUAAGGAAAAAGUCGUCAAGGAAGAUUCGACCCGACUGCUCAGCAGUCGGCUGACGCGCUACCACAGGAGACAGACAAGAUCAAGCACUUACUUCGGCUGUCGGCCAGGUCGUCGGUCCUCCGACCCAACUCCCGAGCCUAGGAGUUGAAGGCGGCAGCACGGGAGUUAUGAUAUUCCUGGAAGUUCAGACAGGAAGCAAAAAUAAGGUAGUCGUCAAGAAAGAUCUGACCCGACUGCGCAGCAGUCGACCCGAAUCUCAGAGACUACACCCAGUGGGUGCGCUGACGCGCCCCCACAGAAGAAAUCAAGAGACCAAAGCGGCCAAGAAUGAAAGACUCACCCGGAUGGCGGCCCGCAUCGACAGGAACUCCUGGGUGUACUGCUGCAGCAGGGCGGCCUGAGCUUGAAGCCGGCUCCGGACCUCUUGAGCCGCCACAUUCAGCUCGCCAGUCCCCCCGCUGGGGGUCCACUCGGACGUGGCGGUGCUGGCCGUCUCCAGAGCCUCCAACGACUGACCGGCGCCCGCGACUCGGCGUGACUCCGGCGGAGCAGCGCCUUCCCCUGCGCACCGACGCGUCACCGGCUCCACCUCGAGGCCGGCUCUGUCCUCCGGCUCACCCCCGGCCGGCUCCUCUGGCGUCGCUGACGAUUGGCCACCUUGGCCCGCUUCGGUUGGUGCUGCCGGCGGCGCUCUCCUCGCGAAGGCCACGAGGUCCUCCCUCCUCUCCAUCAGCGGCGGGUCUUGGACGAUUUCCUCUGCCAGGGGCAAUGGGGUGUCAGGGGCCACGGCUCGGAGGGGAAUGGCGAGCAGCGGAGGCUGGUUGCGCGAACCCUCCGCCUCCGUUUCCGCGGUCGCCGCCUCCGCCUGGGCUUUGGCUGCCACGUCGGCCUGCUCCCUCGCCGCCUGGGCAGCCGCCUUCUCCGCCGCUUCACGCUCCUCCCGCGCCUCACGGGCGUUCCACUCCGUGGCCUCCCUGAGGUCGGCGCGGGGGUCCACGCGGCGGGAGCUCGAAGACCCUCCAGUCGGCCCAACUAUGAAGCCGCCCGGACCCCGCUCCAGGGAAAGCCGCGCCCUGUCCAGCAAGCGGAAAAGGUUAGGAAGAAUGUUCGAACAAGAGAGAACGAUGAAAAGCAUGCGACAAGGCAGUCGAUGACUUACGCUGAGACCGCCUGAGGCUGCUUCACCGCCUUGCGGAAGCGGGCCGCUUUCGCGGCCGCCUUGUCUCGUUUGGUCGCCGCGGUGGAGGCUUUGGACUUCUUCGGCCAACUGCCGAAGAGGAUUGACGCGGCCCGACGCUUCUGUGCGCCGCCGCUGGCAGCCAGCACGAUGGACGAGCCCGCGCCUUGAUGGUCGGCCGCCAGCUGGCGACGCGGGGCGACUUCGGCUUCGACGUCAUCUGGCCAGUCCUCGAAGCUGGCGGUGAACCUUGUGCCUCCGGGCUCGGCGUCGUCCCCCACGACGGCGUCUUCCAUGGCGCCCGCCCCCAAAUCCGGGUCGUCGACGUCGUCCGCCGUGCGGUCGGGGGCGUACUCGCGCUCUAUCCCUGCUGCCCCGGUCGUCGGCGGAAGAAGGGGGUUCUGCUAAGAAGAACCGACCAAUCAGAAGCCGGCCAUCAUAAAGCCGGCUACCAACAGAAAGAAGAAAGAGAGGAAAGCUUACCACGAGCGGAGGGUUGGCGCGAGAAUACGGCGCCUUGCCGUAUCGCCAGUCCUCGGCGAGCUUGCAAUUGGAGAUAUAAUUUACCAUAUACGACACCUCCGCAUGAGGCAUCUCCCUGGUGCUCAGCCGGCUUGGAUCAAAGCGGCCACUCAUCUGACACAUCAUGUGGGGCCGGCUUUGGAGAGGAGAUAUCCGGCGCUCCACGAAGGCGGUCACCAAGUCGGCCCCGCUCAGGCCUUCCGACUGGAUCAUCACCCGAAGCCAGGAGACGGCAGCAUUCCCGGCCUGAGACAGUGACCGGGACUGGAAACUCCAUGAGGGCUGCCUCCCAGCCGGCGGGCCGGCUACGUAAGCCGGUAGGUUGACGUGGUCUCCUUGCUAGGCGACGUUCUUCACAUAGAAGUACGACUUCUGCCAGAUCUUCACCGACUGGAUCAGGGGGAUGGGCGGGAAUGGGUUGUUCUCGCCCGCCCUCCUCAUGGCGAUGAAGGCCCCGCAGGGAGCGGGCACGCCUGCGACGACGGUGCCGAGUUUGCUCUGGAAGAAUUCCCCCCAGAGCUCCAGCGUGGGAAGCAGCCCCAAGAAACCUUCGCAGAGAGAGACGAAGGCCGACAGCAGCAUCACCGCGUUGGGCGUGAGGUGAUGCGGCUGAAGAUUGUAGAACUCGAGGAAGGAGCGUAGGAAUCCGCUCGCCGAAAGGCCGAAGCCACGCAGGAAGUGCGAGCAGAAGACGACCCGCUCGCCCUCCUCCGGCGCCGGCGAGAUCUCCGUCUCUGGCGCCAGGCGGACCCGCACGAGGUUGGCAUCGGGCAGGCACCGAGUCUGGCGGAGGAACUCAACAUGGUCCUCAUGGACGUUGGAGCCGUCCCACGAGCUCGACAGCGCCAUGAGAGCAAGACGAUGUGGCGGCGCGGCGGCGCUGAGACGGGAAGCUGCGGCGGCAAUGAGAGGAAGAAAGGAGGACGAGAAGGGGCGGAGCAAGAGAGAGCGUGCGAACCUCUGUCUCUCCCCCUUCUCCCCCUACUUAUAGGCUUGCGUGGCAGAGCCGAGGAGGCGCGGCGUGGGGAAACGUGGGGAUCGAUCGUGCCCACUCCCUCACGUCCCGCGUUUAUUGCGCCCUAACGGCGAAAUAAAAUCGCCGCGGGAAGGCGAGCGGUCCACCUGGGCCGCAGAAGAUCAGCGUUCGGGCCGAGGCCUAGGAGUGGCGGGCCUGGGCCUGCGGCGGCGUCCCGUCGCGCGCGUGCAUCGGCAGGGUCUCGCUGCCACGUGGCCCGCGGGAGGGCCCGCGGUUAGCACGCGGGUCGACCACUUUCCCGCCUGCCAAACGCAGGGCUCCCCGAAAUCGGCAUACACCAGCAAAGCCGGCUCUUCAAGAUAGGAAGCUGACCAAGCUUCUCGUCCCUUUGUCCGCCUCGAAGCUCGAUCAGCUUCGGGGACUACUGUCGGAGUAAAUAGCCAUGGGUAGCCUAGCCGGCUUCCCCUGGCCCUUCUGAAAAAAUUACGAGCCCGUCCGGCUCUCAAGAAUCCAAGACAUGGGGCCGCCUUCCCCUUGCUGACUGUCACCCAGGUCGGCUUUCGGAAGGCGGCCCGACUUUAGCCCUCAUGAAGAAAGCCAUGGGAGGGCCGACUUCGAGAAGUCGGCCGCGAGGAGGCCGACUCCAAGAAGCCGGCUCCCACAAAGCGGUCGAGAUCGUACCCUCAAAGUUUGCAUCCACCUAACGGCGGUGCGACGGGGCAUGGCUACAGUAAAGCCUGCCACCCCCGAAUCCCGAAGCACGCCUGGCACAGUGCGCCGUACGGAGUGGGCAUGACCCGUCCGGCGCGGCACUGUUGCCAUGUUGACCCUGAUGUCACCCCGACGGGCCGCCAGCGCGGCCCACGGGCGGUGGGCCCCUUCGGGCAGAGAGACACCCGAAGGCGGCCACGCCUCCCCCAGUCGGCCCAAGACGGAGCCGGCUCCCCGCAGCCGGCUUGCCGCCUCCCUCGAAGGAGACGCCCCAUUAAGGAGACAAGAUGCGGUGAGGCUACAGCGAUCGCCCGCCAGGCGGCGGCACUGUAGCCACGCCUACCACGACGAAGCCCGCGUCACCAAGAUGGAGCAACAGUAACCAGCUGCCGACCAGGUCCUGGACAGUGGGGCCUGCCUGUCGACCAAGGGGCCGGCAGCUGGCGGGGCCCACCAGUCGGCGGGCCCCAGCAGCCGGCGCAGAAGCCGGCGAGCGCAGUCACAGACGGCUGGGCCCCGCGCCCGGUCGGAUUACCAUUGUACCCCCGGGGGGUAGGCCUAUAUAAACCCCCCCGGAACACCCAUGCAAAGGGUUCGACCCCCAGCUAGUUUUAGACACCUCACAAGGAGAAGAAGCAAGCUAGCCGCGCCCCUCUUCCUCCUCCCACCGAACAGCUCAAGGAGCAUUGUGUAGCUACUCGUCCAUCUAGUGAUCAUGCGGAGACCCCGCAGAGCAGUAGUAGGGGUGUUAUCUCCGCGGAGAGCCCCGAAGCUGGGUAAGAUUCGCCGGCGUGCAUGUCUUCGCCUCACCCCGUUUCCAGGCACCGGCGACAUCUUACAGGCUCCCACAAUGAUAAGCCACCCGUUGGCAUAUGUCGCACCUACCACCCGACACCCACAAAGGAGAAUAAGCACAAAAGGACACUUGAAUUGGAUGGAGUUUGCAAGGUCUGUGGAAAUGCAUUCCAUGCUACAGUGGCCUGCACAAAGCAAAGAGCACUCAGAGAGGAAAUGUGGAAAUACUGGAAUCUGCCAGAUGAAAAAUCUCUCAUGGCCUUUUCCCCCGAGUGGCUAUUACAAAGCUUAAGUUUGUGUUCAGGAGAUAUGAGAGAAAAAUUCCUACUUGUUUUGUGGAGAUCUUGGCAUUUGAGGGAUGAUGCCAUUCACAGUAAAGGAGAAGCUUCUAUCAGAGAUUCGGUGUUGUUUUUAAAAUCCUACUGGGAGUGCUUGAACUCUGAAAUCCCUGUUGUAAAUGAUAGUAAAGGUAAAUAGAAACUGCAUGAAAUUUCAGUGCCAGCUCCUAGUAUCCCUCGACCUGACACUGGCUGGACAAAACCUCCUGAGAAGUACAUUAAAAUCAACAUUGAUGCGUCCUUCAUACCCUCCUUGGGUUUAACUGCUGUGGGUGCCAUUGGUAGAGACAGUUUGGGUGCUGUUUUAUUCUCGGCAGGCUGUCGUUCUCAGGGUUGCACAGAUGCGGAGGAAUCUGAAUCUUGGGCACUAUCCUUUGGACUAAGACAAGCUAGCAAUUUGUCACUAAACCAUAUUCUGGUGGAAUCUGACUGCUCUGCCGUGGUGUCUACAGUUUCCGACGGCAACAUUAGCAGAACCAGGUGGUGGGCAAGCUAUGAGGAGUCAAAGAGAUUGAUGAGAGGUUUUGAGUCUUGUAAUGUGACCAAAACUUAUAGGGAGUGCAAUGUGGCCGCACAUGAGUUAGCUACGUAUGCUAGAAUCCAAGGUGAUUUUCUUUUCUUAGCUGAUGUGCCACAUAGUGUGAAACAUGUAAUCAUGUCCGACUGUAUACCUGGAUAAAUGAAAUGCAAGGCUCCCUUUAUCCUCAAAAAAAAACCUAAUAGGAAAACCAUCCUGAAAAAAAAAGAACCGAACCAAUUUUGUGGUUUUUGGUUUCGGUAUGGUACGUUCUUUCCAUACUGUUUUGAUUUUUUUUUAAUUUUAUAUAACCAAAACUCGACGGUUAACUGAAUUAACCAAAGUGAAAUUAUAUUUAUAAUUCUUGAGGUGAACAAGCAUACAAGUACUCAUUUUCUUUGUACUGGAGACAUAUUUCGUGCUAAGCACAUCCAUUUUUCUUGUAACAUAGUCAUUCUUCUCUUGGAAAGAAUGCUAGGUACAUACAUAACCAUCAAGGCAUGAAUCCAUGCAUGAAUAUAUCUCUACUAUUAAAGGGGGAUCAAACGUCGUGAUGGUUCGACCUCGUUCGAUCCCCACCCCCUUCGUACGACAACCAUCACGCAAUGGCCACGGCCGCAGCAUCCCAAAACUCAAAGGCCAACUCAGCCCACGUACAAGAUCCACAGCAAAAAAAAAAGACAAUUCGGCUCAACCCACGAACGAGGCCCAUCGAUCAACAAACCAGCCAAAAAAUAGUUCAGCUCAACCCACGAACGAGGUCCAUCGGCAAAAAAUCAAACCACCUGCGAGCUCCAUCGACCCACUAACGCACGUCUCCAGGGAGAGAAAUGCCCGUUCUUCCUCGCGUACGAGCUCCAUCGACCCACGGACGCACUACAUCAAGGAGAGAAUCGCCGGUUCACUCGCCGUUCGGCCACAUCGUUCUCACGUGAGUUGUGCGAGCGCAGCCUCUGCUGCCAUCAACCUCUGAUCUCCUGCAUGCUGAACCGCAACCUCGGCGCCCCUGAACCAGAACCUGCGCUCGACGGCUGUUGCUAUGUCUAUCUCCUGAUGUCGCCGCUACAUCCUCUUGCCAUCAUCUUCACAGUUCUUCACCUACCGUCUUCUGCCUCUCUGACGGCAAAGGACUGAGAUCCACCGGGUGCCCACCAUGCCCUAGGUUUGCCACCUCAACUGUUUUAGCAAAAAUUUUUACAUCAGAAAGAUACUAAACUCCUGUUCAGAACUUCAUGAUGUGACCUCAAAAAUAUAGUGGUACUCAGAUUGCAUCUUUAAGUCCUACUCCAAGUACAUUGAACAAAGCAUGCAUGAUUUUAAGCUAUGUACCAGCUACCAAAUUGUGAAGGUGCUUCAUUAGGCUCAUCAACUUCUGGGAAUUAAUACAUGAAACAAAUGUAUAAUGUGUGCUAAUGUGGACGGGUGUGACAUGGCAUCUCAAACUUGUCUUUGCAGCAAGUCCACUCUAUGCAAAUGAAUGUAAGCAAAUGUAACAAAGUUAAAAAAUUUAAGAAUUGAUGCCAUGAGAUUGACAUGCUUUUCACCCAAUUUCAUAUUGUAGACACCUGUUCAGUUGCCAGACUUAAGUUCAUAUUGAAGACCCCUAUUCCAUAAAGAAUAUUGCUAAAUCCUCUUAAUUACAGUACAAUAUAGUUAUAAAUAUUUCUCUCACGGUCAGCUCUACGUUGCAUUGUCUAGAGCUAACGCGAAGAGGAACAUUAAGAUUCUCGCCAUCAAGGACAACGGCAAGGGUAAAGGCAAGGAUAAGGGCAAGGGCAAGGAACAAAGCAAGAUUUCAAAGAAGCGGAAAAUAUUUGAACCCUUAUUAACGACCAUGAAGAACAUAGCCUACAAGGAAGUCCUUAGCACAUGAAGUCACCAGAUCAAAUUAUAACAACUCAGGUAAAGUAUGUUCAAUUCUGCAUUCCUAUUGUAGAUCUUAAUGCACACUAACCUGAGUUUGUGAGCAUAAUCAGUCUUCAGAAACCAUGAGUAUUCCUUUCGCGACAUCUCCCCAUUCUAUACUUGGUCGAAUAUGCAUCUGUUUAAGCUAGAAAUAACAACAGACAGCAUGAAAUUGCAAACAGAUUAAGGAUGAAGAUGCUUGGACAAUGACUUGCUACAGAAGAACAAAAAUACUAAGGUGUCGUAUUUCUUUCUAAGACAUACGCUUUUUAAUAUGGUAAGAACCUGAGGCAUCUAAUAUCAUAUACUCUCUCCUUCCCAAAAUCUUAGGCGCGUAAGUUUUUGCACGCAGUCCCAAAAUCUAAGGCGCAGAUGCCUUUCUCUGUCUCAUUCAGUUGCAACAACCACUCACGGUCGCUAUUUUUUUGGAAACAAAAACAAAUCUCUGGCUGGGUCUUUCGUUGAUUCCUACAUCUCAACAGCAUGUAUGAUGGUUCAAGUAACAAUUAAAAUGCGCUGAUUUUCAUGCUGGCUACUAAUAAUACGCCUAAGAAUAUGGGAAGGAGGGAGUAGCAAUUAAAAAACUGACUUAAACUUAAGUUCCAUAGAAUCUCUCGAUGGAAAUACAUGGAUAAGGAACUAUGUAUCUGAUAAUUUACGAAGAACCCAAAUUCGAGCUGAAUUUGCCAUUAGUGAGCUCCUCAUAUCUCUACUAUUAAAGGAUGAGUCUUUCAAGACAAUAGAUACCUCGAUAUGAACAAAAGGAACAUAAUCUGUUCGUCUGCUUUUUUUUCUGUAGCUCUGUGAUAAGAUUUAGCACGCAUGUGUCCUUAAAUUCAGGCCUCAAAAUUCAUUGCAGACUGUGAUUCCAAAGUGCCAAGUGCAGGAUUAGAAACAUCAACCCUUAAGCUAUUCAGCAAGAGCAUUGUGGUGACUGGAGAAUGAGUCAUAUUAGACCCUGAAUACAAGCAUCGCUAAUCUACAAAAUGGCAAGGACCUCGGAAUGGAAGCUUUCGCAAUACCACAAUAGCGCAUUAUGCUGAGCUCAUUUGCCAAAAGAUGCAGACCGAGCUUUGCGCUCGUUUUUUACAAUUGUUACAUCAGUAUGAAUGUGAUCAUUGGACAGUGCUGACUUUUAUGUCAGGUUACCUUGCAUAAAUAUGUAUGAUUCCCCGUUGUGUUUUGCUUUGUUGAAAUGCAUUGUGUGUGUACAAUUGGAAUUUGGUCAGCAUUGGAAGGCUGACUCUCCAGGAAGAGGAAGCUAAGCCUCCUUGACCAGAGUUUUUUUCUUCUUCUUUUUUUGAAGUUUCAAGCCAUGCCUUUUUGAAUAGGAACGGCUAAAAUUGUUUAUAGAAAAACUAUUAAGACCCACUUUUCUUGUUGUACUAAAACAAAGUUUUACUUAUUUCUGCCCCUAAAAAAACUAUAUUUUUGGUAUGCUAACUCAUUUCAGGUGGUUAGACCUUCAAACGAGUUUAUGGGAAAUAGAACUGGCAAAAACUCUGUAUCCAGACAACCCAAGAAAGGUUUUAUCCUCAUCUCACAAAAUAAACUUAAUCAUAACCGUAUACUGAUUACUAUACAUCUAGCCAUCUUUCAAACUGUGUAUAUAUAAGAUAGGUUCAUUCUACCUCCAGAUUUUUGCUUACCUCUAAGAUCGAAUUUCACCGGCGGUGCCAAUCCAACAGAGCUACCAAUGCAGGACGCGGAGGGAGAGACGAGAGCCGACCGUGACGAGGUAAGAUCCGUGGGCACCCUGAUCCUGACGCAUAGGGAGGGGAGCAGAGCUCGGUGGCGAAGAGAACCAGUCGGCGUCGUGCUGCACCACGGAAUCCACUCCUCGUCGAUCUCCGCCCAUCCGGCCGAGCACAGCUUGCGGCAGGGUCUCCAAAAUGAGGAGCCCGAUCCCGCCGGUGGAUGCAGAUCGAGCCCACCUCGCGCUGCACGGCGCGUGCCAGUCGCCGGGCGUUACCACCCGAUGAUUCGGACCGACGUGGCGUCAUCGCAGCGGGGGCGCGGGGCAGGGAGCACCGCGUGGUGGAUGCCGCUGCCCAGACUACGUGCGUCUUCCUGCCCCCCGGAUCUCGCCGGACAGCAGGGAGUGAUGGGGGCGCAGUGUGGGAGCCUCGCCAUGGCGCAGGUAGGCUGUAGGGACGGUUCGGAGGCGCGGGGUGGGAGGUUGGGCCGGGAUGGGUGCCGUGCGCCAUGAUGCGCCGGCGGCUGCACAGGGGAGCAGGGUGGGUCAUGGGUGGCUAGCUGAAUGGGAAAGGGGUGAGCAGCGAGGAGAAAGAGACUGAGAGUGCUAGCAGUAGCAGAAUUGUUUUUGUCACACGGCUCUAUAAUUUUUUUAUUUAUAUUAGUGUAUAUUAUGCGAAAUUUCUUUUGGAGGCCGAGCUCCAUGGAGAUUUCGAAAUCCAAAAUUCAAAAUUCUUGAAAAAUCAUAUUUUUACAUUCAAACAAAUUCUGAAAAAAAAAAUAUAGAAAUAGAUGAAGGCAUAGUGCACAAGUAUGUAAAUUUUGAGGACAAAAUACGUUCAAAUGUGGGCUGUGCAAAAAAUACAAAUUUGUUGUUUUUUAACACAUGAUAUGAUUCAUCCUCCCCGAUCAUCAAUUUGUCCUUUUUGUACAGGUCGCACGUAUUUCAUCCUUAAAUUUUACACACAUACGCCUCACAUCAUUGUUUACUUGUACGAAAAAGUUCAGAAGUGAAAUUUUUGAAUUUUGUUUUUUUUUUCAAAAAGGCCUCCAUGGAGGCCGAGAGCCAAAACGCCAUUCUCUGUAUAUUAUAGCAUAAGAAACUGAGGUAUUUGGACGGUCUGUCGGGGCUACCAAAUAUCUUGGCUAGACUAGAACAAAUCUUGUUUUGCAUAUUCUAGAUGUCUGUCAUUUUAACCUUUUUAGUCUGCAUGCUGUAUAUGAAUAUAUUAUAGUACUCCCCGCAAAGAAAAAGAAUAAAUGAUAGUACUAUAUUUAAAUCAUAUUUGUAUAUAUAUUUCACUUUUUCAGAACGUGUCCAUGCUAGAUAUGGAUAUUAUUGACCAUGAAAAAGAACCUACCAACAAGAGUCCGAAGGUGGUGUUGUUGGAAGAGAUCAAAAACUCAGCAAGUUCUAUACAACCUACCAACAAGAGUUCGAACUGACUGAAGAAUCUCAGGGAAAUAAACAUAAAAUUGAAGAGCCAAAAAUUAUAAAACUUAAGUCUAGGGCGGCAUAGAAGGGUUCUUCUUUGAUCAAGCUGUCCGUGCUGAAUGGUGCUUUUUCGGUGAAGCCCUGGUUGCCGCGCGGAGCUUGAAAACUUAGUCACACCGUGUCCUUUUCUAAAAACUAUGUGUCAAAGACCAAUAAGUGAGAGUUGAUGGCAAUGUACAAAUGGUGGAUCGAAGCUCUCAGUUUCAUGGGGUUGGUCCCCUACCAAUGUGUCACAUCGUGCUCCGCUGUUUACAUUUUUCAUCAUGUUCUCUCCAAAUAAAAUUUCAGCAAAUGAAUAAUCUGAUCAAAGUCUACUAUGCGUUGGCUAGAAAAUAAGACCAUGUUCAUAGAUUUUUAAUAAACUCUGACAUUGUUUUGUUGUUGAAAUGUACUCCAUCAAAAGCACUCAUAUAAAAUGUCCACUGUCGACUAAUCUUUUCACAUCAUAUUUCGUAUUCCCAUGGCAACGCACGGGCGUUCAACUAGUACUUAUAUAUAGUUAUAUAAUAUGUGUAUAAAAAGUAUGUGUUUUGAGUCAAAAUCUCUAAUUAUUAUUAUGUAAUUUUCAAAUUCGCGUCAACUCUAGUUAUUAUGGUAUAUACCGAAACCAUACCUUGAUAAAUUGGUAUAUACCGAAACCAAACUCUAUCUUAAUUUUAUUGUAUUUACCGAAGUAUUAAUACCAUACAAACCAGAAACCCAUAUAAACUGUACCAUGUCAGCUGAAUAAACCAAAUGUAAAUACUUACCAAAUGCACUAUAAUUGGUGUUAUAAGCGCCGAAUAUUGCACAGAUGAGGACCUUAUAGUAAUGUGAGAUGCGGCUAAUUUUUCUUAUUAAGGAUGAUUGCGUGAAAAUUACAAACGGCGCAAAGGCACCAUGGUGUCCUUUUUCAAAAAUCUAUUUUCUACAGCACAAAAAAAUUUGAUUUUUUUUUGUAGAAACACACAGAGAUGUAUACUAUGUAUGUGCAAAGUUUCACAACAUUUUACGUACAAAAAAAGACUAAUAUGUAUUUUCAACUGGGCCGCCUUUUUUCAUUUUUGGCCGGAAUUUUGUUGUUUGUACAGAUUACAAUUUACAUUUUUCAAAAAAAAAUCAUGGAUCCAUAGUUAACACAUAUAAGUUUUCACAGAAUUUUUUUGGAACUUCUAAAUAUGUUUUCUUAAAUUCACAAAAGCAGGCACCACUGGUUCGCACUCUGAAUUGCCACACUUUUUAAGCAAUUCCAUUGUAACGUGUUGGUAUUAUUAAUGUCAUACUGAGGAAAACUACAUCUCUUAAUAUUAACACAUAUGCAUAUAUUUUGGCGCAUUUGCUUUUCUUCGGGCAACUGAGAAUGUUUCUCUAUUCAGUCGAUUCUGGGCGCGGCAAUGCAAGCGAUUAGGCCCAUGGAGGUGGGCAGGUCGGGGUGAGGAAGAACGAUUGGGCUGGGUUGGAGAUGCAAGAAGAGGAGGAGCUUCUAGCGGAACGGACUGAAAUUUUUAGAAUAAAUUCAGGCAACUGUUUUAUGGGUGCUUCUUUGUUUUACCACUGCAUUUUAUAGGCAGGCUUGCUGGCGGCGUGAUGCCAUGACUCGAGUAAAAAGUUCACUGGUAAUAAAGAGUUGGGUUGCUUAGAAAUUUCGUGUUUCUAAUUCUUGUGGCAGCCAAGUGCCCCUAUUUUUAGAAUUCCGUUUCAGUCUGGCACUCCCAGCACAUUUUUUCUUUGACGGUUGCAUUCCCAGCACAAUUCAUAUGAGCCAAGAAAGGUGUCACGACAUUUUUUUUUUUUGAAAGAGUGUGCCAUGACAAUUUGCCAUAACUAAACUAGCAUUUUAAGCAUUUUUCUUUACCGUUACAUCUUAAGCAUUUUGACCUGUGGUUUGCCCCUGCUUCGAAAAUUCCCGCAGGGUCGUCAGUGCGUAGCCACACUUUGUAGCCCGACAUGUCGAAGCACCGCUCCGUUUGCUCCGCCACGCCCACCACAAAGCCGAGGCCUUUGAUGAGCACAUCGGCAGUGCGGUGCAUCCAUGCAUGCGCGGGUACGACCACCAGUGACAGAGGGACUAGAAAUGGCAUGGAGACAGGAUCGCCUGGGCCUGCCGGAGCCACGACUGACGAGAGAGGGAGAACCCCGUCGACAUGGCUUUGCCGCGGGAAACCAUACAAUCUCGAAUCACCUUGGAGUUGUAGAGAACCAGGGAGUCCUCAUGGUAGAACACACAGAUUGACAUGUCCAGAGGGUUGAUAUCGAACUCGGCGUGGAGCUAGCGCCGUGACCGCCGACACCAGAUCCACAACAUGGGCUGGUGCCAGUGAUUAGCACGACAAACAACACAUGCGAGCUCAUCCUCCAUCCUUACGAGGUCAAUAGGUUGUUUUUAGGGGUACGAGGUCAAUAGAUGACUCAAUGAAGCAAGUCUCCACCAUGUUGUCUACUACCAGCGAACGGGCCGGACCACCUGACUCCAGGGCCUGGCUAGCCGGGGGAGGGCACGGAGGCGAUGGGGGAAGCGUCGUGGGUUCCACCGAUUGACCAGGAAGCUGUGGCGAAGUGUCGGCGGUGGGCGUGAAGAUUGGGCGAGUUGGGAGGGGCUGCGAGGCCUCGUGCAACCCCUGGAGAUAUUACCAUCACCGCUGCACCGCACACAACAUGGUAGGUUGGUGCAGUCCGCAGAGAUAUGCUCUGGAUCACCGCAAUUGUAGCAGCACCCGUAGAACUCGACCGGGAUGCGUGACCGCAGCACGCGCGAGGUGGGGAGGACGCGUCGCCUCCUUGGAGGGAAUGGGGCCAUGGCGUGGCUCCUGUGCUUCCCGCCGCGUUUGGAUUGCUAGGCCGCCUCGCCGGCCGGCCGCUCGCGGAUGGGACCAGGCUCGCCACCCUGAACAAUGGGUCCGAACGUCGUGCCCACCUCCUAUGGCACGAUGACAGAGCGCAUCACUGGUCGUGGGGGAGGAGGGGAGGGGGCCUCCGAGGACGAAACUACUGUUGAAUCCUCCGAGGAAGACGUGGGAAGAGAGAUGCAGGACGCGAUGGCGCGAGGGGAGGGGGAGCGGCACCGCGCCAUUUGCCUACAAAUGAGCGAAAGAAUCAGCUCCAUCUUUUAACUUGUUGUAUCGGUUGGAGCGAAGAGUAAAAAUGAAAAGGGGCUGACUACGGGUCAGUCGAUUGAAAAUUUAGUGUGGCUGGCCACUGUCACGCGCGAUAUUUAUUCGCUUCCGAGGAAUUUGUACGCGCAGCAUUGAGCAGUGCACGUACACAACGUGCGUACGUAUGUAUCUGCACCAACACUGCUAGCCUUUUUUCUUUUUAAGAUAAACCAACACUGCUAGCUAGCUACCUUCCUCUUCCUCAUUUUUCUUUUCUUUUGGAUCGGAGGACGGAGCCUUCAAACACAUGGAUGGAUGCAUUUCACAUACUGUACAUGACUAGUUGCAAAAAAGUAUCGUACUACGUCACUUUAAGUAUCUGUACGCACAUGCACUUCCUCCCAUCGAUCGAGGGUAGCUAAAUUAAUGCAUUUCAAUCUAGUAACCAGCCAUGCAUGUUAGUCGACUGAAAAUUAAAUUUGGGUUAGUUGACUGAUGCAAAUUAAAACAAAUAGUGAAAAAACUUCAUACAAUUCACACAUACAUUGUACUUUUUUAUAGCAUGCAAGAAUGCACAUAUAAUAAUUGAAAGAAAAUACAAUAGAACUAAAACUAAACCGAAAUUUGCACACAAUUUACAGCGAAAUUGCACUUUUUAAAUAUGCAAGAAUAAGCACAUAAUGGUGUAAUUUCUUAAAAAAAUAUGUUUUCUAAUAGGAAACGAGUUAGUGGCUUUGGUAUUGCCCUUAUAGAAAAAAAAUUCUAAGGAAGAAUGAAUUAGUGCCAUUUGUAUUACCAUUUAAGAAGAAAAGAAAGAAAAAAUUAAUAAAAAAAUUUGCACAAAAUUAUACAAAAAAUGUGUGUUUUAUAAUAUGUAAGAAUAAGUGUAUAAUAGUGCAAUUUCUGUGAAAAGGAAGUUUCCUAAGAAGAAAUCGAUUAAUGGCUUGGUAUUACCCUUAUAUAAAGAAUAAAGAAAAUAAAAUGAAAAGUAAAACAAAAUCAAAAUAAUGAAGUUUUUCUAAGGAUGAAUGAAUUAGUGGCAUUGUUAUUACCCUUCCAGAAGAAAGGAAAUGAAAAAAUUGCACAUAAUUUACACAUAAAUUGCACUUUUUGUAAUAUGCGAGAAUAAACUUGUAAUAGUGAAUUUUUCGCCAAAAGGAAAUUUUCUAAGAAAGAAUUAAAGAAGAAAUACAAUAAACCAAAAACUAAAACUAAAUAAGAAUGAUGAAUUUUCACAGUUAAUUGUAGUUUACACUCAUUUGUGUAAUAGUUGUGUCUAUACAUUCAUAUAAAAACAAAACCGACCAAAAAAAAAUCAAAAACACAUACUAAUGUCAAAAAUUAAUUUGAACCGUAUCUCAUAUCAAUGGUACAUCCCAGUCUCACACAUAUGCACGAAACACAACACACACACACGGGCGCAUAAAAAACUAACAUGCAGAAAAAGAAAAGAUAAAAAAAGGUGGGGCCUAUACAGAGGCAUGAAGGCAUGGCACCGCAUGUAGCCAUGCAUACAGCUAGCAAUAAUGCUAAACAUACAAAGAGUUACACGCUGACUAGGAUUUUUUCCAUCUACUAACCAAUCAUAAACUUGACCCCCCUCCCCCUAUUUUCAGGGGGUGGACCGCCUCGCCACCUAUUGACCAAUCAAAUUAACCUUCUUUGUAAAACCUUGUAACUCGUUUGUAUGUGUAGCAUUACUCGUUGUGUCCCACUACUCAGUUUUACCAUUAGAAGUUACAACUACUCAAAAAUGCCAUCGAUCCGUGAGAUGUUUGCUCAAAAAUGCCAUCGUUCCGUUAGAUGUUUUCUCAAAAAUGCCAUUAGACAUCGUUAUUUUCACAUCAAACUCAUUGACCAUGUUAUAUGACAAAAAUAAGUCUAGACCCACAUGUCAGUUCUCUCUAUCUCACAAUGAUAAGUGUGGCCCCACUUGUCAGGGGUAACCAAGCGAAUAAUUUUAUAGAAAAAUAAGAACGUCGUUGGGAUCAAGUGGGCCCCACACUUUAUUGUAGUAAGAUAGAAGGAGAGCUGGCAUGCUGGUUCAUAGGUAUUUAUGUCAUUAUAACAUGGCAAAAGAGAUUUGAGAUCACAAUAAUGGUGCCCAGUGGCAUUUUUGAACACGUGUCUAACAAAGCAAUGGCAUUUUUGAGUUGUUGAAACUCCUAGUGGCAAAACUGAGUAGUGGGAUACAAUCGAUGGCAUAAAUGAUAAAAACCCAAACGAAAAAGUCAGGUUAUGUAGCUAAACUGAAAUGAAAAACCGCCUGCACAAAAAUGCUGGUAUACUCGGACGAUGUGGCCAUGGAAAGAAUCGUACCGCGAAAUUUCUAGAUGCUAGCAUAGCAGAGCUACCCACUGCACAUGGUGGACGGUGAGUAAUCACUCCUUGCAUUUCACUCUGCAUCCCAAAAACAAGCAGGCAUGCAGGCAGGCAGAGGUACCCCACGGCCAGCACCAACCAUCUCAUAUCAGUUUUCCCAUCUCCUCUCCCCAUCACCUUUCCCAUCUCGUCUCACGCAAGCCAAGCGCCACCUCUCCGGCUCCUCGUCCUGCUGCUCAUACCCAUCACCUUCCCCGUCCCACACGAGCUAAGCGCACACAGCAAGCGCCACAGAUCCACGCCAGGAAGGAGUCCACCGGCUUCUCCGCCUCACCUCUCCGCGGCCCGAGGACAUGGAGCGGCAUGGCGCUGCGCUUGUCGCAGAGCGUCUUCGCCGCCGCGUCCGUCUUCGCCAUGGUCUCCGGCAUCGGCAUCGGCUUCUCCAACCACGGCGCCUACUUGUACUACUCUAUCGAAAUGCUAAUUCUUGUUUCCCUAUAAUGUCCUCCCUCUUUGUGUUUUUUCUGGCAAAUCCAUCAGCAUCACUCAAGUAGCAAGCUAUGUGAGUGUCCGUCUUGGUCUAUUGGGUUUGAUCUGGGUUUGGAGGACAAGGUUGGGUGACUUUUAUACUCUUUCUUUCAAGAGAAUUUUUUUGAGAAUAAGGUAGAGACAAGCAGGGGACUGGUUCAUUUCUUACAAGGAUUCACAUUUUUUCACAUGCUUGCAAGCUGAGCUCGCCCAAACAGUUUCCUGGCUUAAAUCUUAGGAUCCUACACCUGCCUGAGAAAACAUCAUAUAUCAACCCUUAACCCUUAUUUAGGAGAACUAGAUGAGCCGGGUUUAACGCCAGUAGUGCUGAAUCAGGAGGCCUCAUCAUUUGAUAAACUUCGUUGAAACAUAUCUCCAUGACUACCUUCAAUGCUCUCAAAAUUAGUGUAACUGUUGUUCGACGAGCCAACCACCCAACUACUAGUCACCGGAAAAAAAGGAAAUGAGACUUCAUUGGGUGACUUCCUUAUUCGAGUUCUAAGACGGAUUUAUGUAGUAGAUUUUGUUCCAUUACAGAGUUCAUGCUUGUUUGCAGCAGGACUACAAACUUGACAUCGUACAUAUUUAUGUCGAUAAUAUGGGGAGUUUACUUUAACUUGAGUGUUCUUUUUCAUAACAAGAACUUUGAGUGUUCUGUCAUCCUCUAUUAAUAUUUCUGUGACUAGUGUUUUUUUUUUCUUCUAAAAUGCGAGCUGUACCAAUUUAAUUUUCCAAUGGCAUUUGGAAUCCUGAUUGUCAGCUGUGUCCAAAUCUCUUGCUACCGUCUAGUAUUCAAGUUGACCAAGUUAGGAAACAUGUAUGUUUUUGUUGAGGCCACCCUGCGAAGGGUUUAUGAUCUGGUAAAAUGGUUUCUGGAAUUGACGGGUAAUUGAUAUUUGAUCUCUCGCUAGAAUUUUUCCAAGUAAACCUUCACUUGGUGCCAUGUAGUCAGGGAGAACUCUGAACUGGGAUGUUGAGGGGCCGGGAUUAGUUUAAAGCUCAAUUCCCCACAGGACGGGGCGAACAACAGCAUACCAUGUUCAAAAAUGGAACCGGAAUAUUGGAAAAUGUUUCUUUGUGUAUGUGCUUUUGUGGGUGUAUGUGCAAUGCAUGCAUAUGUUUUUCAUCCAACCUACAGUUUUUUCUCCAAUGAUAAUAUUUUAUUAGAAUUGUUAAAAUUUAGGUUUUAUGUGUCAUCACACCAAAUGCUGGGGUGCGCCAAUGAUUUAUAUUUUCACUUCAAGUUCAUGUCAUUGAGACUAUGAACCGCCUAAAGUCUUCAAUUUCUUGUCUACUCUUCAGAAUUGCUUGGACAGGAACUCAAGUGUGUUUUGUUAACAUCAUCUAACGAGCGUAUUAUGGUCUCCAUUUAUUUCAGCUACAUGAAUCUGGUGUUGAUCCUCCAGCUGAUGUGGAGUCUGUUCCUUGCUUGUGAGGAUAUCUUUGCUCUAAGGAAUAAAAAGUAUCUUCACACCCGGCAUAAUCUAUUGUUCAUUGUUUGCAUUGACAUGGUAAGUCGCUCACUUUGUCUCUUCUAUUCUCCAUGAGCUAUGUCUGAAUUAACUGAAGGCAUGCACUGAAGCAAUUGAACCAGAUUUUUUUAAUAUUAGUUCUUACGAGAAAAGAUGGGGAGCGUUUGCGCAGCGGUAAAACUGUUGCCUUGCGCGACCCUGCACAAGCGGAGCUGCGUGCACUGGGCAGUCCCUUUCUUUAGUUCUUACGAAAAAUGAAAUUCAGGAUAAGCGCAACUGAUGCUUCUCUAUUGGCCAAGUUCUUGUUCUGCCUCCCUCUAGGAGAAUAAGGUAGCUUUAAGAGAUUUGUUGGCACAGGCUCUCCAUCAAAAUUAGCCAACGAAUUGUCCAUUUUAGUAAGAAAUUUUAACAACCAAUAUGUUUUGCGUGACUUUUUGGUUAACCAGCGGUACAGUUUACCAAAGGUUCUUUUUCCCUGUUAGAAAGGCUGUCAUUUCUCUCAUCCAAAGUUGUUACAUCUCACAAGCAGAGUCCAAAUACCCUGUGAAAUCAUUUUUUUAGUCGAGUAGUUCUUGGAAUCUUGAGCUAGCAAAGGCAUAUCUGAGUGAUCAUAUCAAUUCUGAAUGUGUUGCAGGCCAUGGCGAUUCUCAUUUUCACAGGAGCAAGUGCCUCUGCAGGCCUGACAAUUUUGAUCAUGUGGGAUAUGAAGCUCUGCGGGGCAUACCCGCGGCUGGCCUGCCGGCAGUUCGCGCUUUCGACCACCCUGGCGUUCAUCACGUGGUUGUUGCAAGCUGCGUCUGUUUUCUCUGGGUUCCGGCUACUGGCUUCGUUCUUCUAGUGAUCUCACGCACUCAUAAUCGCCGUCGCGACAUGCUAAGUCAGGAGGGUAAAUCGGUUGCAAUGUGCACGCAUCCUUCAUCACUUGUUAGAUAGAUGGAUUGUCUGUUUGAUAGUAGCUCAUCUUUAUUCUAGGAGUCGAUUAUGAACGCCCUGUGGUCGAACAGUUACUGUUUAGAUGAUGUGGGAUCAUUAAUAUGGAGAUAAGUCGUGAUCGAAGGUACCUGAAAAAUGCUCUGGUUGUUGUACAAUGGAAUUUCAUAUCUCUUCAAAUGGCUGGGACCAACCAUUUCUGGUUGCCGAGCAAUGUACUCCUAAAAAGCACGGACACGGGGACGGAAAGACGGGGAUACGCAUACGGGGAUACGGGAUACGGCAUUUUUUAAAAACAGCCAUUCGGGGAUACGGCGAGUAUAUAUAAAAUAAAAUAAAAAUAUGCCAUAUAAUAUACAAUUAAGACAGAAAAUUAAUGAGAAAGAGAUCAUAAUAGAGGAUAAUGCCCCAUUUGGUGUCUCUUUUAUCAAGUGAUGAUUGAUUGAUCGUCAUCCCCCCAUGUCAUGUUGUCAUUGCAAGCUGCAUCUAUCUUGCAAAACACAUCAAACACAGACAGUACAGAAGAUUAGAAGACAAGACAUAAUUGGAAGAUAAUGCAAGCAUGAGCAGCAGCAGCACAAGCAUGAGCAGCAGCACCACCAGCAUAAGCGGCAGCACAAGCAAGCAUCAAGCCAGCAAGCAACAUCCAGCAGCACAAGCAAAUCUGAAGGAUAAAAGAGGAAGAGGUUGAGGAAAGGGGAGAGGGGAGAGGCUGCUUGGUUACCUGCGAGGCUGGGGGUAGCACCAGCUAUCGCCGGUCGAAUCCAGGCGUCGCCGGCGGCGGCGGCGACGAGUCAAGGCGGAGGCGGCUUCGAUCCAGGAGGCUGGCGGCGCGGGGAGGCUGGGAGGGAGCACCUCGUCCUUGAGACGAGAGCGUGCGGGAGUUCCUGCAAAUAGGUUAGGUAUACUGGGUUGGGCCGAGGCUAUUUUGGGCCAGGCCGUGUCCCAAACGUAUCCCGCACGUGUCCCAGCGUAUCCCUGUGUUUUUUUUCCUUUUUUAAAAUCGAAAUUCGGGGGAUACUGCAAAGUUCGCGUAUCCCGGCAUAUCCUGGCGUAUCCCCGUAUCCUGCCGUAUCAGAACGGCAGUUCGGCACUUCCAGCCCUGUCCAUGCUUUGUAGAUGUACUCCCUCAGUCCCAUAAUAUAAAAUGUUUUUACAAGCUAUGUUAGCUUGCGAAAAUGUCUUACAUUAUAUAUGGAACGAAGGGAGUAGAUAUGUAGUCCUUCUCGACAUAAUUAGAAAUUCAAAUACUAAAGAUAGGAGAGUGGCUUUUCUACUCGUGGGUGUGCAUACACUCAGGAUGAACAGUAAAUUUGAAAACAAUACAAAAAUAUCUGAAAGUUUUGUCUGGCGUUCUGCGUCUUGCAGCAUGAAAAAUUGUUGGAACUUGUCCUCCUCCUAAGUAUGAGUGCCAUGGUCUAUUAUGUCCGCCACCCAUCGAAUACGAGACUAUGUCGGGUUUAUUGUUAGUUUUCAGAUUUCCUCUCAACAUCCAAGGACACGUUUGUUUGUUUGCAUCAUUUUUUCCUGGCUGAGGAACCGGACAAAGAACCAUCAUCUGCCCAUCGUUUGGUAGCCUGCAUGUAGGUUGGUUGCAAACGACAUAAGGUGUGAUCACCAUUUCUUACUACUGGUGGCCUUACCACAAACGAUUUCAACAUCGUCUCAGUCCUAGCUAGAAAACAAAUGACGGUUCAUCCUAUCUACUAACAAAUGGCAGUACAAAUUAAGUGCUAUAUGGCUGAAGAAGAAGAAGAAGAAGAAGAAGAAGAAGAAGAAGAAGAAGAAGAAGAAGAAGAAGAAGAAGAAGAAGAAGAGGGGGAUCUUAAACCUAUUCUUCAGCGAUUCAAAUGCCCUCUCAAUCAUAACUCUAAGGCUAGAGUGUCUGAAAUUAAACAGUUCCUGUGGAGUCCUAUGAUAGUUCCUGGAAAAGAACUCCUUCAAAUGGUACCUGGUUUUCCUGAAAGGUCGAAGAACACCAAGUUGAUACGCAUAGCCAGCAUCUCCUUGGUAGAACUUGCCAUCAGGUCGAAACAUGCUAUCUGUUAGAAUGAUAACAUCAUGGGCUGGUCCCUUCCACCUAGCUAACACGUAUGUGAACUUCAGAUCGAAGUCAACCGCAGAACAUUCUGGCUUAUGUAGUAUUAGAUGACAAAUCAUCACCUGCUAUACCGUCAUCGGAUCCUACAUCAUUGCAGCUCCACAAAAAAAUAUUUCAAUGAGUUUGGAGCACUCCAAAUGCCUUUUCCGCAUCCUUCCUAGCAGCUUCUUGCAUUUGUGCAAAGAGACAAUGUUUGUACAUUGGGGAUCGGGUAUAGUCAUCACAAACACCAUCUACUGAUGAUAGAUAUCAUCGGCAUGGUGGUACCCAUGGAAUAGUAAUCCUUGUUGACGGUGUAAUUGCAUGUCGGGACAUUCCCAUCACAGAAUCUAUUGAACAAUAGAGAUUGUUGAAAUACACUGAUGUCAUUGUAAGAACCAGACAUGCCAAAUCCACAAGUCUGUUGAUGCCAUUGCUUCAAGUAUGAUGUUGACCUCUUUGGUGUGAUCUUGGCACUACUCACGCAAACCUGUCGGGGAUGUUUUUCAUUGUCAAAAAAUCCCCGACAGGUUUGCGUCAUCAUUGAAAUACCGGGCCAGGUUUGAAGUUAUCGUUGCACGGACCUUUGCGCCAAUUAUCCUAUCUCAGGCAAGAGCAAUCAUGCCAUUUACUGAAUCCUUGAAAUUAAGAAUGUGCUCAAGUUUCUUAUCCAUUUCUUCCUAGAUGCUAAUCAUCGCCAUUAUCUCAGCAUCUUUGUCGUCACAAUUGUCUGAAAAAUCGGAUAAAUCAACAAACUCUUUGAAUAUGUAGUCAUCAAGUUCCAUGCAAUUAAAAUCAUCAUCCAAUGAAUCCAAUGUUUGCCAACAAAUGAGUAAAAGAAUCAGCUCCAGCUUUUGAUUUUGCAUCCGUUGGGACGAAGAGUAAAGUAAAGGUGACAAACCGCGUGCACAAAAAUAUACCUAUACUCGUACGAUGUGGCCAAGGGAAGAACCUACCACAAAUUUCCAGCUGCUAGGCUGCUUAGCUAGCAGAAGUACUCACACCACAUGGUGGAUGCUCAGAUAGGCCAUAUCCAACGCUGACCCACAAAUUCCUUCCGUUCGUGGACAGGGGGACCAGUCCAUAGAUGCAGAUGCGAGAGGAGGCCAUCCAACACUACCCUCAUACAUUUCAAAGUUUCAAACACAAUUAAACUAAAUGGAACGAAAUUCAUGCAAACACUAUGGAUUUCAUUAAAGUUCAUACAUAAUUUAAUUAAAAUGGAUGAUAUUUCGAUCGUUUAACUAAAAACUGUAAAAAGAACCUAAACCCUAGACCGGACGACCACCUCGUACAUGUGGCUGCUAUGUCCCGCCACACCAUCAGCGCCGUCAUCAUCAUUGUCCUCCCUCCAGUGGUGGAAGGGCACCGCAGGGCCGUAGCAGCCUUGUCUGGCGGAUUCCUGCCGCUCGUGGAGGAGCCGCUCCGCAUCCCGUUGUGUGGUGCGGAGGGCCGCCUUGGCUACUACCGACGACGCCGACAGAGCCCUACCGGCGGCCUUACCCCUGCCGGCGUUGGUGGAGCAGUCGUGAAGUGACCAUUCCUCGCUGUUAAGGCGGUGGCGGCACCUGGCGUCCGUCUCGAGGGUGGUGACGGAGUGGUCGAGCGGCCACUCAGCUGCAUGGUCCGGGUUGUUGCGGACCCAUUCCGGCACGACGUCGCUCUUGGCGAAUGCGGAGCGGUGUGUGGCAUUGCGUCGGUUGUACCGUGCCUAUUGGCUCGCCGUGCGCUCCACCUACGACGACCCUCGAGACCGAGGCACCGCAUUAACCACCUCCUCUGAAGUAGUGGAGGAUGCAGCCACCUUGAUCACGCGCGGCAAGUCCUCCUUUAUCGGGUGGCGGUUGCGGCGUGGCGACGACGAGGACCCAUCAAUGAGGGCAUGCCGACUGUUAGGUGGGGGCGACACCAGCUCGUCUUUGGUGGUGGAGGCGCUGGGGGUCCACGGGUGUUGCGAUGGAAGACACAUGAGAAGAGGGUGGGUUUUUUGGGAAAGUUAGGGCAGUCAGAAGAGGACGUGGCAACUGUCCAGAUGCCCUUAAAACCCUCCACUGUGUCUCCGCUUUGCAAGAAAAAUUGUGUCCAGACCGAUACAGGACUGCGUUGGAUGACAAAACACGCCCGGGCAUAUGUGAUGGGCGGUUUGAGGGUCGGCGUUGGAGAUACCCUAAGAGCAUCUCUAGCAGAUCCCGUAAAAACACCACUUGUGAAAAUAGUAUACAGGUCCCCCUAAAAUGAAUUUACGGUACCGCGAGGCAUCGAGCGGAACAGAUUCUGUAAACUCGUAUGGUAAACUCGUAUGGUAAAUGAAUUUACGGUACCGCGCAUUCGCCCUUCCUCCUCCCUCCAGCCCCCUCCCUCCCUCCCUCCCGCCGCCGUCGCCGGCGCCCGUGGCCAGCCUGGCCCCGGGGCUGCUGGUGGCGGCGGCCUCCCUGCCCUUCCCCUUCCGGUCGCUCUCCGGCGCGGGCGGAGCUGCUCCGCGGGGUGCACUUCGGCGGCGACAAUCUAGCGUGGCGGCAGGGCUCCGUGGCGCGACGCAGGAGGACAGCUGGGCGGCGGCGCGAUCUGGUGUCGUCCGCUCGGCCCAGAUCUGGGCCUGGGCGGGCCGGCAGCGGGGAUCGUCUCCGGCGUGGCUUCUGGGAGGCAGGGGAGACGCGACGAGUGGCUGGGUGCUGGCGGCGCCGACGCUGACCUGCUGCAUCGUGGCCGGCGGGGCUUAACGGGCCCGCUUCGGGCCUGGCUGAGCCAGGGGUGGCUCGGCAUGCCUCGCGGCCAUGUCCGGACGGCUACUGCGACGGUGCCGGAGGCAUGGGCCUCCCGCACGAUGGCGGUGGAGGUGGUUCCCUCCCGCUCGGUGUCGGUGUUGCUGCUCCCGUCGUGGUGCGCUUUUCUCCGGUCCUCUUGGCCUCGUGGUGGUGUUCGUAGUGAGGCGGCGUUGGUGGCAGCGCUACUGCGUUGGCGCAUGGGGGUGGGCGACGGUUUGGCGGGUCGGUCCAUCUGGUUGGGUCUGGGAAUGCGGGAGAAAUCCCUGCCGGCUUCGGCCCCGACGCGGUGACACCUGCGGGUGCCACCAUUCCUUCCUGGAGGGUGUCGGUGGUAUUCACCCCCACCUUCCUUCGCGUGCCGGGGGAAACCCUAGGACUCGUCCGGGUAGCAGCGUUGUCGGCGUUGCAUUCUUUCUUGGAGGUGCUGCUUGGUACGCGGCGGUUCGGAACCUCGGUCUGUGGUGGGUUGUAUCCGGUCGGCGCCGUGGUGGCGGGUCAUCCGCGCUUUGCCGAGCUGCCGUGGUUGGCAUUUGUUUCUUCUUCCUUUUCUUUUGAUGUGUUGUGCUGCUCGCUACAGCGAUCUUUGUAUUGGGUGUUGGUUGCUUUGGAAUACAAAGCGGGGGAAACCCUUUUUGGUAAAAGUGUUUCUUCUUUUUCUCCUCACGCUUCUUCUCUCUCGGGAUGAACUGAAACUCCGGCCAGCCAGAACGGCGCCGCUUCGGCCCGCCGCCUGCUCCGGCGACGCUCCAGCCUACCGUGUGCUCCGGCCAGCUGCUACCGAGCUCCUCCGCCUGCUCGCUGCUUGCGCGGGGCGUGGCCAAGCCCCUGCUCCGGCGUUGGCCGGUUUUACGGGAUGCUCAAAAAAUGGCUCGAAUCCUUCAUAUAUAUAUAUAUAUAUAUAUAUAUAUAUAUAUAUAUAUGAGACGGAUGAGUGCUCUAAUACACGAAACUUACAGGAUAUGUUAGUUUACAUAAUAUAUUUGAUGUUCCUUUUUAACCUGUACCAUAAAUCUGAAGAUUUGACCGUUUUUAUGGGUUUUUAUGGAAUCUGUUAGAGAUUCUCAGCGUUCCAUCUGCAUUUCGCUCUGUAUGUCAAAAACCACGAGGCGGGCAGAGGUACUCCGUACGCCCCACCCCCAUCUCGUCUCACACAAAGCCAAGCAGGCAAGCACCACCUUUCUCAUCUCGUCUCAUCUGACUCACACAGGCCAAGCGCUAUCCUGCUCAUCAUAGCCAUCACCUUUCCCACCCCUCCCACACGAGCUAAGCGCACACACAGCAAUUGCCACAGAUCCCGGCCGGACAGCCAGGAGAGGACUCCAUCGGCUUCUCCGCCUCACCUCUCCGCAGCAAGCAGAUCAGAGCAGAGCAGGGGAUGAAGCGCGUAGCGGGGAGCCCGGGGACAUGGAGCGGCAUGGCGCUGCGGCUGUCGCAGUGCGUCUUCGCCGUCGCCUCCACCUUCUCCAUGGUCUCCGGCUUCGGCUACUCCAACUACAGCGCCUUCUUGUACUAAUUUCAUUCCCCCGCAAAUCCUAUUUCUCUUCCUUGCCCAUGUACCCCCCUUUGUGUGUUUUCUUGCAAAUUCAUGAGCAAUCACUCAUGUGAGUGUCUGUUGCGUUCGAUCUGUUUUUUGGAGGACACAGGCCGGUGUGAAGCCCUAAGUUUCUAGGCUUAUUAAGACUUAGAAUCCUACAAUUUCCCGAGAAAACAUUAUCAACCCUUGUUUAAGAGAACUCAGAUGAGGCAGAUUUAACGCCUUCCAAGCAGCGUGAUGCCUUUUUCUGGAGUGAAAACCUGGUCAUUACACUUUUAUCUGCAAACGAUUCUGAAUGCUCUGCUAAAUCUCCUUGGCAUUGAAAAAGCAAAUCAAUUAGGAAGAUAACUCAUAUCCGACUGCAAUGUACAAAAUGCUUGAACCAGUUGACAGAUUAAAGCAUUUUUGAUACCUCAACUACGGGGACAACCUUAAAUCUUAGCAGCCCCUUACAGUCAUCGUCGUGUUCUUUUCUGAUCUGCAAAGGAAAGCAACAAAAACCUUAUGAUGCGCUUGGAAAUUGGAACCAUUUCAUACAAAAAAGGCUGGUAAUUAAUCUGUCCCUAGAAUGUUUCUCUGUGAACCUUCACUUGGUGUGAUGUAGUCAGGGAGAACUCGGACCUGGGAUGUUUUGGGGCCGGGAUUAGGUUCCAAGCUCAAUUCCCUGCAGGACGGAGUGAACAACACCAUACUUGUUCAAAAAUGGAAUCAGAAUAUUGGACAUAUUUUUUUUGUGUAUGUGUAACGAAGCCAUACGUUUUUCAUUUAACCCACAGUUUAAUAUUUUUUAGAAUUGUUAAAGGUUAGGUUUUAUAGGUCAAUAUACAUGCCUUGACUCUGUGAUGGUGUGUGCCAACUAUUUAUAUUUUUCACAUCAAGUUCAUGUCAUUGAGACUAUGAACUGCAUAAAGUCUUCAAUUCUUGACUAUUCUUCAGAACUGCUUGGGCAGGAACACAAUUGUGUUUUGUCGACAUCAUCUAACGAGUGUAAUUCUGGUGUCCCUUCAUUUCAGCUACAUGAAUCUAGCGUUAAUCCUGCAGAUUAUGUGGAGUUUGGGCCUUGCUUGUAAGGAUAUCUUUGCUCUAAGGAAUAAAAAGGAUCUUCACACCCAAGAUAAUCUAUUCAUCAUUGUUAUGGUUGAUUGGGUAAGCCGUUCACUUUGUCUCUUCUAUUGUCCAUGAGCUAAGUAUGAAUUAACUGAAGUAAUGCACUGAGGCAAUUGAACCCAGAUUUUUUCUCAUUGGUUCUUACGAAAAAGGAAACAUCCGGAUAAGUGCAACUCAUGCUUUUCUAUUGGCCAAAUUUCUUGUUCUGCCUCCCUCUAAGCCUUAAAGAUAUUUGUUUGCACAAGCGCUCCAUCAAACUUUGCCGAUGAAUUAUCCAUUUGAGCAAUAAAUUUCAACAGCCAAUAUGCUUUGCAUGACUUUAUGGUCAACCAACGGUAUAGUUUAUCAAAGGUUCUUUUUUUCCUGUCAUUAAGAACUAAUGGCUGUCAUUGCAUCUCACAAGCACAGUCCAGAUACCCUGUGAAAUCAAUUUUUUUACUAUAGCAGUUCUUGGAAUCUUGAACUAGCAACGGUCUAUCUGAGUGAAAACAUCAAUUGUGAAUACAUUGCAGGUCGUGGCGAUUUUCAUGUUCUCAGGAGCCUGUUCCUCCGCGAGCCUGACAAUUUUCUUCAUGUGGGAUGUGCACUUCUGCGAGGCAUACACGCGGCUGGCCUGCCGGCAGUUUGCGCUUUCGGUCGUCCUGGCGUUCAUCACGUGGUUGCUGCAAGCUGCAUCUUCUUUCUCCGGGUUCUGGCUACUGGUUUCGCUCUUCUAGUGAUCUCACGUGCUCAUAAUCGCCGUCACAUCAUGCUAAUUGUCAGUCAGGAGUCAGGAGAGUUGGUUGAAAUGUGCUCGGGACACUUGCUAGAUUUCAUCCCUUGUUGGAUCGAUGGAUUGUCUGUUUGAUAGUAGCUCAUCUUUCUUCUGGGAGUUGGUUAUGAGCGCCUUGUGGUGGAAUAGUUACUACUUGAUGAUGUGGGAUUCAUUAAUAUUAAGAGUAGCAUAUAUGGAGAUAACUCGCCAUCGAAGGUACCCGAAAAAUGCUCUGGUUACUGUGCAAUGGAAUUUUAUAUCUCUUCAAACAAAAAAGAAUGUGUUGAACACAUUUUUGGAAGAAAGUUCAGUUUAG